RNAcentral lists this long non-coding RNA (76351 nucleotides) under Phoenix dactylifera (date palm). RNAcentral's name for it is "long non-coding RNA (PDAC_LNC000245)". The record is from RNAcentral. Lineage: Eukaryota; Viridiplantae; Streptophyta; Magnoliopsida; Arecales; Arecaceae.
UUUGAUGGGGUUAUGGGUUUUGUCGUCAAUGUAAUCGUGCCGUUGGAUUAGGGUUGGAGGUUAGGUUAGGUUAGCAGGGAGAUGGGUGGAUGCAGGGGCGCAGUCUUAUCCUGAUGCUGCCAACGACUGCCACUGGUUUCCAUCGCUUUCUUUCAAGAGCUUUAUUGAGGUGGAGGAGCACGGCACAGAGACUGGAAAAGGUCCGGGUGGGCACUAGACUAGGCCGAUGAGAAGGAAGUCUUUGGCACUUUUCGCCAUUUUCCAUGUCCACGUGAGGCUGGAGAAUGAGACUCAGUAGAAGAUUUGGCUCCUUCUUAUCGAUCAGGUUGUAACAUGGGUUACAGAAAAAAAAAAUUAUAUCUUACACCAUGUGCAUCACAAUUGCUCGUGCACCAUUAAAAUAGUCAGAGCUUCGCCCUUACGGGCUUCAUGCGGUUCGUCUCAAUCUAAUUAUCUCAAUUUAGGCCACUAGCAAAUGCAUGCAACUAGGCAUGCAAAAUCAUUUAAAUUUAUAAGGUAUGUUUAUUUUUUAAAAUUUGAAUAAUUUUUUGAAAAUUAUACUUCAAAGCCUUCACUGGUUUUUUAUAACAGCCUAAUUUUAAGAGACGUCAAAUAUAAUAGAAUAUUAUUAAUUAAUUUUAGAUAUAUAAUGUGUGUUCUUCGAUAUUAUUCAUAUAUAAAUACAAACAUAUCACUGAAACUAUAUAAAGGCCUCAAAAUUUCUAUCUGCGAAAUUUUGAAUUCCUAGACACGUUGAUUCUCAUAAUAACCCUCCAUCUAAACUGCCAAUUUCAGAUUUUUUGGCUGGACAUUCCACUGAACAGGGCGAGGCCACAACCUUCAAAUCCCCAUCGUACUACCCAUAUUAUAUGAUAUUUAAUUUUGAAACAAUUGAAAAAUCAAAACUUUCUUAAUUUUUGAUUGGAAAAGCUGAAUCGUUAAAGCUUACAUUUAAACUCGUUCAUUAAGAUUGAAAAAGUUCAAGCUACAUGAUAUUUAAUUUUAAAAUAAUUUAAUCUUUCUUAGUCCCAAAAUGGAACCAAAUGCAUAGGGAUACACCACUCAAGGUCAGAACCAAAAUGUUUAAUGGAUAAGCAAAGGGAAGCGACAAUUGGGAUAAGCCCCAAUUCACAUGGCUGCUGCAAAUCAAAUAUGAAAAAGAAAAAUCACUGGACUUCCUGGGCUAAAUAUCUGUCUCGAUGUCAAACUUCACUACAUAUGAGGUCUAUUUGCUAAAAGCAUUCACCAGUCCAUGACAAAGCCAAAACACACCAAAGCCUCAACCACUGCAGAAAUAAUCAAGAUAACAGAAACAAGCUAAUCAUGUAGUUUGCUGGAUUCAUUGAUCCACAUGCUGAUUCAAGGGUAACCUAGUUGCCUUCUAGUAAAUUUCUAAUCACGAUGAUGUGUAUUGGUUCUUCAAAACAAAUAAGAUACAAAAGCUAGAACCACGAAGUAUUGAAAUGGCCUUGUCCUCUCCACAUGAAUACAGUAGAGAGCAUCUUUUGGGGAUUCCAACCUUUUGCCAUUUUAAUAGACCAUCCUACUAAAGCUUUGGAGAUCAGAAUACUACUUGUGUAACUUCAGAGCUCAGCAUGUACAAAGCGUCUAAUCUAAUUUCCCCAUCCUAUCCAAUACGUACAACUGAUUCCAUGAAGCUAUUGCCUUUGCUGUUGGGCAUGUCUCAGUAUGACCAAGAUUAACAUGGGAACAAUAUGUUGUUGCAAUCUCUAGUUGUGCCUUAACCAUUGAAGCAAAUGGUUCACAAGAAGGGACUCUCUGAGGUCAAGAAAGGAGAUCAAAAGAGCCUGAUUUAAAUGAGGAGGAUUUGAAGAAAGAGGCUGCCACAGGAUGUAAGCUUUCAACUUGGAAGGAGGGACAAAUAAAAUUCUGAACCAAUUCGACAGAGCAGGGACAAGGAUCUCCGGUUCUCGUUUUGACCUACAUAGGGUUGAAAAAAGACCUAUAGCCUUGACCACAGGUUCACUCCAUUUUGAAGAAGUCGCUUAAAUGGUUCAACCUAUUCUAGACAUGGCCACUGCCUUCAUCAUGUUGGAUUUGGCAGCAUCAAGCAAUGGGUCUGACUGUAAAGCCUUCUCGAAAGAAGCUUUAGCUUCCUCCCACCUGCCCUCUGCCACAAAAACAAGCCCAAGGUUGUUGUGUGCUGGUGCAUAUCCUGGGCACAGUUCUAGAGACUUUGCAAAUAUUGCCUUUGCAUGUUCAAACCUCUUCUGCUGACGGUACAGGUUUCCAAGGUUAGAAAGGAUGGCAUGGGCCUGUUGGGUUGUAGCAUGGGAGAGUGCCCGCUUGUAUACUACCUCAGCCGAAGAUGGAUCAUCAGAUAAUUGCAAUGCAAUACCUAUAACAUGAAAAAUUGUAGCUUUUGUCAGGAAAAGUACAGGAAUCUUCGAGGUGCAGCUAAACAAAUUUCAUUCAGAAAAUAACAGGAAUUUUCCACCUGACACAUGAAGUAUAUAUUAUCACAUUUGUCAUAAUCUUUUUUUUUGUCAAAAAUAUCCUAAUAUGGAAUCUGGAAGAAGUAAACAAAAUUAUAUAUGAUACCUAUUAUAAAAAUAAACUAGAAAAGACAAUGUUUUAACUAAAUUUGCCCACUAACUAGGAAAAGAUUGAUAAGUGAAUAGACAUUCACAUGGUCAUAUAUCAGAGAUUGUUAGUCAUGGUUCAAAUUACCGGUCGAACAAGGAAGCUACGAAUGCUACCGCUUUCUGAUGGGAUUCCGGCACUGAGACAGGGCUUGGAUCACCGAAACCAGUCCCAGAUGGGGCAUCCCAGCCGAACUAGAUUGAUACCAAUACAAGUAUUAUUGGUAUGAGGCAAUCCCGGUUGGGAUGCCUCUUGCUUCCUUUUUCAAAGGACAUGGGGGUGGCUGGGUUCAGAGAUGCCUUUAAGCAUCUUGUGAGGCGCUUCUGACCCUAUAAUGUGAGAAAGAGAGCCAGAGAGAAGGAUAAGAGGAGAGAAAGGGAUGGAACAGUGCUACUUUCUAGUUCCUACUAUCCUGACUCCUGAGCAGGUUCAGAUGUACACACAUCCACAGCAUCACGAACCACAACCGAGUCAUCAUCUGACAUCUUAUGACAAGCAGGGGUAAGGACAAUAUCCAAGCUGGUAUAAUGUUUAAGUCCCAACUACCAGCAAGAUCUGCAUGUAUAUAAGAGGCAUCAACAUCAUGCAUGGGAUUAUACUAUUAAAGUGGGUUACUUUGAUUUUUCUGUUUCAAUACUAUAUUUUAUUUGCUAUUCUUCACUCAUAAAUGUUAUUAGUCGAUUGAUGAUUGAGUGUUAGUAUCAAAUUCCGCCGUACUGAUCGUACUGAUGUACCGGUGGGCGCCGGUACCGGUACCGUACCGGUUUGGCUGGUUCGGGCCAAAAGCCAAAAAAAAAUUUAGAGCCGGUACGGGCCGGUACCAAUCGAUACGGAUUUGGUACGGGUCGGUACGUACCAGUACCGACCGGUACGGAUUGUGAAUGGUUGGAACAAAAAAAAUAUAGCUGUACCAUAACAGUUUUAUUCGGUACCAAAAUGUACCGGCCCGUACCGACCGGUACGACAGACUCAGUAUCAAUAUCAACAUUCAACUAUCGCAUAUCCUUAAAAACAUCCUCUAAAUAUUAAGGAAUACAAAACAAGCUGGCCUAAACAUCAUCAUGUAUAAAAAUAUAAAAAAAUAAUGAAAAGAAAAAAAUAAAAAAAUGAUUCCUGGCUGUCCCAGCAUGGUUAGAGUACAAAGCCCCACAUCGUAUCAGCACAGGACAGCCUGGUGCCAUACUGGUCUGGCCGAAAACCGAUACCGGGCUUUAAAUCUUGAUGCCAACAAUAUUUCAGAUCAAAUUUUAGUAAUUAAUUGUAGUUUAUUUUAUUUUUAAUCAGAUCUCAUUGAUUGCUCUUAAAACCACUUAUCUUACUUGUGACAACAAUGAGCUCAAAUAUCAAAAGCCAAACCUCAAUUUAGAAUUUUAUGUACCAGAUUAAGAUGUUAGCCUAAAAACUAUUUAUAUUGUGCAUAUGCAAUAGAUUUAUAGAAAAUUAUGCAACAUGGGGUUUGGAAACAAGUUUAGGCAUAAAAUAUUAUGCAACAUGGGCGUGAAACAAGUUUAGUCACUUGUAUGGCAUUUAUAAAAUUAUUCUUGUGCAUUUCCUGACUGUACGAACAAGAUUGAUGCAAUCAACAAACUCAUUUAAGAAAUGAAACUAGUUAACUAGUUAUUAACCCUAUCAAUCAGUUCCAGCAUCAUAUAGAAGAUCAAGAGAAUUUAGAAUGCCUAAAAUGCCAUACAAGGAUCAUAAUAAAAAAUCAUCAAGAGAUUUAGUUGUGGAGGCCAUACCCCACCCUCAUCCUUUUAGAGGAUACAACAUAUCAUCUUACAACAUGACAUUAGGCAUCCUAAUUUUUAUGCAUCACCUUUCCCAACCAUCGACUUUUACUUCCUCGGUGUCCUUUCUCAAAAUUACCAUGUGCAUCCAGCUAAUAAACUAAUAAAAAUCAUAUUCCCACCAUGCUGUCUUUGGCUGACUCAUAGCCCAGUUAAAGAAGAAUAUUUAACUGCUAAAAAGAGAUGACAAUUACCAAGAUUGGACCAUGCAUAACUGCAUUCCCUGCAUCGGGCUACUGCAGCCUUGAGAAACUUAACUGACAUCUUGAACUGCAUGGUACAAAGGUUGUGAAGACCAAGUUGAUGCCAUUGAACUGCAUCAUCUGGAUCCUCCUCAAUUGCCUGUUGCAGAGCAAUCCUUGCGUAUAAGAGAUACAAGAAAAUAAUUGCAAAAAAAUAAACAUCCAUUACUGUGAAGAAUUUAAUGUGUCGAAGAUGGAUGUGGCGUAAGCUUACUUGAUGGAAAGUUGGAGAAAGGCUGUGAAUUGUGAUGAUUCAGAUAAUCAAUGUUACAACUUACAAGUGGAUUCAUUCUUAGGUGAACCAUCAGAAUAGAAAAAUGCCAUAUUAAAGAAAAGCAUCCCUUCAAAAUGUGAUUUAGCAGGGAAUUGGACAAAGCCCCAAUGGUCACAUUCUCCCUUCCUAGAAGGUGGUUCUGGGUUCAAAUCUUUGGUGAUACAUCCCCAAAUGUUAAACGUUGGUAAUUUAUCUUGGGCGGGUAUUCCUUCCCUUUAUCUCUCUCACAAAUUUAAGAAAAAAAAGGUGGUUCAGCAAACUUAAAUAUGCAAGUCUACGGAUUUUACUACCUGAAAAAGCAAUAGCAAAUAAAGACAUGAACAUCAUCGAAGACUACAAAAAAGACUAGACUGUCUCAUGGUUAAAGAGUUAGACAUCAAAUAACCAUGCAUCUCAAAGUGAUGCUUUAAUUUUUUAGAUGUGGAUGUUCUUCCUUCAGAUGAGAUGGUCACAAGAACAGUCAGCUCAUUCACCACCAUGUUUGCUUGCUAUUAAACAACAGAACACAAUACAGAGGACCCAAUGGCAAGGGGUCCUAGUACAUAUAAAUUCUGCUUAACAGCUUCAAAUUUCAACAAGAAAGACCACAGAAUUAUUCUUGGAUAAUUCACUGUAUAACUUAUAUUCCACUUCUUCUGUUUCAUUUUCAAAUGAAAGUGCUUUUCAGUAUAAUGUUGAAGGAAAAAACAAUUGACUUGUGAGAAAACACAUUCAAUAUAAUUCAUAUUUCGAACCAUUCAAACAAGACCUAUCUAAUUGUUUGUCUAUAUGACAAACAUUGAACACUUCCAAAUACAAAAAAAAAAGCCUGAGUUUUUUGGGUAGAAAAAAGUCUUAAGUCAGAACCACCAUUACUUAUCUAAAUGAAAGCACAAGAAAAGGUAAAAGGGCUUCCCUAUCUUCUACAGCAUCACCUCCUCUGCCAAGCACAAGAGGAACCUUACUGUCAAGUUUGCUCUUACAACUUUUGCACAAAUAUUUACCAAUGCAGAUCUAUCAUCCUCAGUCAUCAGAAAUUGACUUUCACCUACAUCUCCUGGCUCUCAACCAAGUAACUCCAGAACCCUCUAUCUUCCAAAUCUUGCUAUCUCAUAUCCCGCUGCAGAGAACACUACGGACCAUUAAGCCAAUCUACCACAGUAUCCCCACGUCUGAUCAACUUUGCAAGCUUCAUUGCAUUUCAAAAACAAUCCAACAAGAAAUGGCCACAGAAGCUAAAUAUUGCAUGCAACCAUAUGGGUUUAGUUAGUGCAGCGGUUUCAGUCUCAUAUGCUUUUCAUCUGGAUCUCGUAGAUAAAUGUAAGUAUGAUUUGUUAAGGGCUCAGGUUGAGUCAGGCAUACAAGGAUCUUCUAGGGACUAAAAAAGUCCUAAGGCAAGGGAGGUGGAGCUCAUAGAAACCCGAGGGUUUGGUAGAAAGGUGCCGAGAGAUAAGCAUGAAGUUAGAUCCAGGUGUCCAUGCUUGGCUGCCAUCCCCAUUGGCAGUUGUAAGAGGUGUCUGUAGUUCUAGAAGUUUUAGAGCACUUUCAAGUUUAAAAUAUUUGGAAAAUCAUAAGGCAAAAGCAUCCUUCCAAGGUUUUAAAAAAAAGGUUUUGGAGAGCAUAUAGGUUUUUUGAAAAACCAAUGAGCAGCAUUUGCCGAACGGAUCCCAUACUGAACUGAACUAACAUGAAAUCGGGAUGGUCCAGCGUGUCCCAAACAGAACCAACACAAAAUUGAGAUGAUUCAUCCUUCUGGGUCAGUUCGGCUCAUAAGAACCUUCGACCCUUCAGCUGAAAGCUUUGAAUGCUCUUAAUCUCUCCCCCUCUUCAGUGCCAAUUGACUCCAUUGCCCUCGAACGAUGCCCAAGAUGAUGCAGACAUGAUCGAUCAAUGUCGAAGACGGGACCUUCACCCUCAAUCGACGUUGAAGACAAUACCGUUAUCCUUGAUCGAUGCCAUGGGGGUCCCUCGCCAACAUCUUCGACCCCGAUCGAUACCUUGAGGUAAGCCCCUCCCUCUCCCCCCUCCUUGCUCUCUCUCUUCCUCCCUCUCCUUCUCCCCCUCUCUCUCCCUUCCCUCUCUCUUCCUCCCUCCCCCCUUCCAUAAACCCCUCUCUCCAUCAUCUCUCUCUUCCCUCUCCCCUCCCUCCCUUUAGUUCAGUAUGCCUCAAAUUAGUACGAUACAUACUAGUACCAUACCAAAUCAAUCACCAACUAGUACGACCUCCGAUACCGGUCCAACAAACUUGCCAAUAUGAUAACAAGUACCGACACAUGAUAGGGGUCCCAUACUAGCACGCUAUGUAUCAGUGCCAAUUUACAGCUGGAAAAGUGCAAUACCGCUCAUACCAUCCCAUUCCAGCGAUUUUUAAACCUUGCAUCCAACUCAUUGGUGUUUCCCUCUUUUUUGAGAUGGAUGGAAAAGAAAACAACUCUACAAUUGAUUGAGUAACUGUGCAAGUGUGCCACCAAUUUUCAUCAGAUCAAAAGAAAGAAGUAGAUGGGUUCAAUUGCUUUGAACUUCAAGGACUUCUAACUAUCAGAAUGCCACCUAUGCGCCAGCCGCUUGGUUGAGUAAUUUCCCCAUUUCGCCAUGCAUCUUGGUUCGUUAUUGUCAUUACCUCCAUUUCCUUUCCUAUUUCGCCAUGUGUCCUGGUUGGUUACCACCGUUACCUUCAUUUUUUUAUUCAUUAUUUACUAACAGUAACUUCAAAUUUUUAAUUUUCUCCUUAUCUUCGACUUCAUACUGCCUGGCAACUACCUUGGGACCAAUUUUUCCAUUAAUGUUGUCUAUGUAUGCAUAUUCAGCCUGUAGCAUGUGUGUGUCUCCAAUAUACACCUUAACUUCUUAUAUGUUAUCAGAUUGACCUAUACUAUCGGCCAACUUCUAAUUGACCCAGAUUGACACCCGUGGUAGUGGUUGAUGCUCCCUUUGCUCCACCUGUCUUUAAUGAUAUAGCCCAUCCUUGACAAAGGUGCAUUGGUAUUCAAUGCUUUUCCUGGAUGAAAUCAAUCAGCCUGCAUUCAAUAACGCCAUGUGACAACUACACAACUAUUUGGGAAUGGUCUGUGAUGUGCCGCAUGUCAUUUCUACAAUACAUCUAUGGAUUCUAGUCUUCUGUCAAUAUGUGAUGCAAACAAUUGGGAUAGUUUUGUGUGGAAUCCAGGUCAUGUACAUAAGUCCAGCUUUUUAUCUUUAACAAUCAGCAAAGAAUUAGCUAAUUCACUCUUCACACUUGCAAGUUUAGCCUUUAUGCUACUCCCAGGAGCAUGCUUUCCAAGGCUGAUUCAAAGGAUACCAUCUUUUCUUUCUUUGCUCAUAUACUAUAUUUGGAAGACUUUCUACAUUAACCCUGUUCUCUCUCUCCUCAUAGAAGAUACUCUUACAAAAUUCAGAGGGCACCUACAUAAAAGUGAGCCAAAAUAGCUGUCUUCUCCAUCUUAUUUUGCCUUAGGAGUAGCAAAUUUGCAUAUCUGGUCAGAAUGAGACCAUUAGGUUUUUAGUGGAAAAUUAAGUCGCAUAACAAGGAGAUUGAAGAGAUCUAAUUUGCGGGACUCUUCUGUUAAUGUGGCUACUAGAUUAGAUACUCUCCCUUCGAAAAAGGCCUAACUAUGAUUUGUUCAAAACUAACUCUGAUAAGUUUCAAUCGGGCCUUCACUCUUAUUAUGGAGCAGUUAUAAGAAGAGGAAUUUUAUGACAAGCCUGCAUUCAUCUAUUCUAGGAUGAAAAACAAGUUUGAACACUUUGCAUAACUCCUGACAUGGCCAAAUGCUUUUUCAUUUUUCCACUCUAGGAUCUUAGUCUAAUAUAAGAAAUGUAGUAAAAGAGAAAACAUUUUCGACAUUUUUCCUAUAAGUAUUUUUUUCAUGACUUCCGAUGUGGUUGGGGGUGGAAAUGAGCCAAACAUGAGCAAACUGAGCUUAGCUUGAAAUUAAAAUGACUCAGCUCAAAUCGAGUUGAAUUGAGAAACCCUAGCUCGUGCUUGGCUCAUGUAUAAUCAAGUCAGCUCGAGCUCGGCUUAGCUUGAAAUGUAAUCCUCCUUUUAGUGGACGAAAACCUUGAUGGGAGGAGAUUGUCGAUCCAUGGAGAAUGGGAGGGAGGGGGGGUGUUGCUAUGUAGAAGAGAGCUUGGGGGAGCCUUUACCUUGAGGGAAUAAAAGAGUGCCUGCUGUCUCAUCAUCAUCAACCUCCCUUCCUAUCAGCACUUGUAAGCAAAACGAGGAGAGGAAGAGGGAGGAUGGAAGAUAGGAGAAACAGGAGAGAAUGGAUGCCAUUGUUGAUCAAGAGAAGCCUAUGGGUGGCUAGUGGCAGCGAGAGAUGCUAUGAAGAGAUCGAGAGGAGAGGUUGGUGGUGGCAUGUAAGUGAAUGCCAUGGAAAGGCCAUUGGUGGGUGCCUGAGUGGAUGCCACAAUGGGAACCAAGAGAAAGGGAAAGUGGAUCAUGGUGGUACAAUGGGAGAGGUGUUUAGGGUCUUAGGGCUUCAUAAUCAUCGCUAUUUACUCCACCCACUAGAGCUAUUGAAUUUUAAUCAAUGGUUGAACAAUUUAAUAAGUCAGCCACCGGAUUAAAAUCCAAAAGCUGAUUAUUUAUUACUUAUAAAUCCAUAAAUACAAUAUCUACUUACUAUAUAUAAUAUAUAAAAUACAUAAUAUAUAAUAUAUAAUGUACAAUGGAUAGUGUACAAUGUAUAGUGUAUAACGUAUGACGUAUAACGUAUAAUAUAUAAUAUAUAGCAUAUAAUAUAUAAUAUAUAGCAUAUAAUAUAUAAUAUAUAAAUUAAUAUAAUAUAAUAUAAUGAGUUGGCUCGCAAGUCAAAAAUAAGUGAGCUGAACCUAACUCACGCUCGGCUCACUUGACAUUGAGUAAUCAAGUGAGCCGAGCUCAAGCUGAAUUCCAAGCCGAAUGCGAGCUGGCUUGUGAACAGCUCGUUAGUUUGCCAGCCUUACAUGUGAUUAAAUAGUUAGAUAUAAAUAAUAAUUGCUCCUAGUCAAUUUUGCUGCCCCUAGAUCAGAGAAACUGGAACAUCAAUCAUUCUACAUAUAUUAAUUGCACUCCUUGAUCUGGCCAUCAUAUGUGGUACAAGAAAACACCCUCAACUUUGCUACUACAAGGCAUCAUUUGAUUUAACCAUUUCCAAUUAUAUCCUUCCUACUUGUAACAUGCAUCCACUUUGAUAUCUUUUUUUUUUAAAUUAUAUUUACAUGCUUCACAAAUAUUUUACAGCCUAAAUCCUGAAUUAACCAAUAGAUUUUGUCCAAUAGUUGAUUCAUUAUUUCCCUUUGAAGCCUCACUGGUAUUAGACGAUCACAAACACUCCAAAGUCAGAGCACCACUUCAUCAAAUGUCCUUAUGAUACAUCCUUAUCUACAACUCAACUAUGUAUAGUGAAAAUGACAUGGCAUAUUUACAAGACACAUACUUAGGUAUAAGAAGUUCAUGCCAAACAAAUGGACGCCAAGUAAAAGCGGAUAAUGUCUUUCUACUGCAUAACCAACACAAAGAUGUCGAAGAGAAAUGCCCAUUAGAUAUUUCCUAGAAUGUACUAGAUUUUAUGUUAUCACUAUGUGCUGGAUGAAAAAUAAGAAAGUUGAUUAACUUAUGGUACUAUUACAAGAACAUGUUUGUUAUGAAAGCAAGAAUUAUGAUAAAUAAAAUAAAUGAUAAUAGCCAUCCCAUCUUAGAAAAAUCUUUUAGAUUGCAAAGUAAGAGGUGAUCUUCAAUUCAGAAAAUGUAGUAUCUAGUUCAACCAGAAAGAUUGCCAACAAAUGAAAAAGGAAGUUAGUUUGGUUGAGCAUUCGAAUUGAUACAGGAAGCAUCACCUGCUUUAAUGUAUACAGAGCUCGCUCUUCUGCCUCCACCAAAUCCCUCUGCUCAGUUUCAAAAGCUGCUGCAAUUUCAUGUUGAGCUCUGUGCACCAUCGCCAACCCUGCCCAUGCUAUUGGAAGAUCAAUUACUGCAGGGUCCCCUUCUUUUAGAAUCGAUGCCAUUUCAUUUGCAGCCCAGGAAAGCUGCUCUGUAGAAUCUUGUGACCUUUCAGCAUCUUUAAUUCGAUGAACUGCUAUAGCAUAUCGAGCAGACAUUUGAUUAGGCUCCAAUUUUGCUGCCUGCACAGAGACAAGCAUACGGCAAGAGUAAUUUAGUAUAAGAAAACAUGGUGACCCUCAAUCUGCACUCCAUUGGUACCUUCCUUUAUCUGAACACCUUCUAUUAAGUUAUUUGCGCAGAUUAAUGUGCAAAAAUAAUUUUAAAAAGUCUGUAGUUAGCCAUGUUGCUCCCUUACUAACAACUCACAGUUAGGUUCUUCCAUCAAUAUAGAUAGAAGUGGAGCAAUUUGGCCAGAGAAAAAGGGAAAGGUUUCCUUGUAAAAUUUACACCUCAUAACAAAAUAUCAUUUCCUUUCUGUUGGCAUAUCAACCAGAAAUUUGAGUUCUCCACUUCUUAAUAGAUGGACUCAGAGCUCCUAAACUCCCAAGCUACAUUAAGAAUAGCCUGAAAACUUUAAGAAGAAAUGAGCCAAGGACAUGUUGCUACCUGCUCCAAGCACUUCUUUGCAUUCCUAUGAUCACCAGCCACAUAAUAUGCAUUAGCAAGAUUCACCCAUAAUGCCCCAGCUUUAGGUUCAGCUUUUACUGCUGCUGUUAAGCACACUUUUGCAACAGAUGCAGCUUCAACUUGAUGUGGAUAAGCCCCUUCACCUGCAUUUGCCCCUGGACCUGUACAUUCAACAAGACAACUAAAUGAUAAACUACUCAAUGGACAAUCCUCACAACCAUUGUUAUAUAAGAGAGAGGGAUUAGCUAUCUAUUGAAAGACAUCAAGAAUCAGUAAGUAUCUUCAACACAUAUUGAGCAUCAUUGCCGUUCUCUGUGAUCAUUCUACUUAGGUAGCUGACCUAAAGAGAAGCCAAACACCUAUCACAGACAUCUUAUGGAAUGUCAAAGAGUACCAUGACUAGUUUAAACUUAUGAAAAAUCAUUUACAUGAUAAAACCCAAUCAACUGUAGCUUUGCUGCUAGAUUUACUAUAAUAAGCUAAUGCGAGCAUCCUAGAAAAAGGAAUCACUAUAAUUUGGUGCCAAGUCUCCUUAAAUGGCACUCUUGUUCUUUCUUUCAGCACCACAGUAACAAGAUUCGCCAAUUUUCCCAAAAAAACAUGAAUUAUUCAUGACUUGAAAGUUAGGUGAAUAGUUCGAUGACUAAUUUGCUGGUUGGCUAACAGAUCACGAAUGUUUCACAAAAUUUGUUGAUUUCAUGAAGAGAUUGCAAGACAGAUUAACUUCUGAAGCUUCAGUUUUAUCUUGACAUGGACAUAGAUUGCAAUUUGGCAGAUCACUUAUGGGCUGAGGCAGCAGGGUAAAUGAAUGAAAUGAGGGUUGUCUCUCAUUAGUGGACAAAUGUGAUAGGGUUCGGGGAAACGUGAGAGUUAAAUGUGUCCCACUGCCUAAUGCCUCAUGUCAGGCCCAAAAAAUAACAAUAGCAACAACAACAACAAUAAUAAUGGAGUCAGAGACUCCAAUCAAACCCACAGAGUCACACCACAUCUCCCUCCUGGACAAUUUUUCUGCCUUCCACACUCUAGAUCUUCAAAAUUUUUAGUUUUCUCUUUUGCAUAUUCCAAUAUUUUUUUUGAACUGGAAGUGGCAAGGAACAUUAAGUCUUUCCCCUGAUUACAAUCCCAGAAAGCCUUUUUCUUUCUUUUUCUGAAUCGUUCCUCUUUAUUGGGUUGAAAAUUAGCAAACUAAAAUUUCUUAUGAAAUAACAUUAGCAGCGAUGAAAAUAUGUACUCACCUUUUUUACAUAUAAGAAUUUUUAUUUGACCUUUUUAUUAUUUAUUUUUAAUUUUCUAAACUUCUUCCGAAUUCACCUGAUUUCUUUUUCCAAUUUCCAAAGUUUUCAAUCAUGCCAUAUUAUUCAUGGUUGCUGAAUUUGUGGCUAGGUUCACCACCAGUUUGAACAAUUACAACAAAAAAGUAAUUCUAUUAAAUAUCUGUCAUAUAAACCUAGUGCCCAUCCACGUGCGUGACUACCAAGGUCAUGUUCCCUCUCAUUGGAAACUUGAUCCAUAAAUAAUAUGGAGGAAGAAGGGAGGUGUUUUAAUGGUUUUAUAUGACAGUUGGUCGAUGCAUUUCUUGGGAAAUUAACAAAAGAUAACAAUUAGUAAUUUUGCCUGCAUUAUCCUAUGAUUCAAAUUCUAACAAAUAAAGAUAAUCCAAGAAUGCAAGAGGAGCAUCACAAACAUAAGAACAUAAGGUGCAUAUGUGGUGAAUCUAGGGAAGACAGGACAAGAAAUAAGUACAGGAACAAACAUCUGAACGCAAAAAGAAAAUGAUAAUACAAGCAUAAAAUUUCCAUGUUAUAUCCAUAACAGUAUAGGAUAUCGGCCUAAUAAAGUAGAACAGAUAAUUGGAAGGAACUAAAUGUAUUAGGGUCAUACCUGGGAUGAUCGAUCCAUAUUUACACAAAAGGAAAGCUGCAUAAUUGAUCAAAGCAGCAGGAUGGUUUUGAUCCUUAAGAAUAAGAUCUUGAAAGCAUUUUGCAGAAAGCUCCAAAUUUCCACUGGACAUAAUUGUUAGUUAGUACUUCAAACAAAAAGGGAAAACAACAUUAAUUAUCAACAGCAGGACAAGUCUAUCAAUUUCCCAUUCACUAUGCUAAAACAAGUCAGAAAUCUGGGAAAUGCAAAGUGUAAAAGUAAAAUGGCAGAGAUAUCAAUCCUAUUUACUUAAUUGUGGAGCCAUUGUUGUUUAAAUCCUACAACAAAGUGGCUCUCACAAUAUGGAUCUCAUCCUUGGAUUAGAAUCCGCUAGGAUCAUGAGAUCUAGAUCCAUCUUAUGGAUCAUGCAAUCCCUUAGAUCAUAAUAUCCAAAUCAAUCAUGUUAUAAACAUAUAAAAUAAUGCAAAAUCCACUUUAUGUAAUUAAUAUGGCUAUAUGCCUUUUAGAAUUAUUUCUUGAUCUCUAAUAAGCUUUAAGCACAUAAAAUUAGCAUGUUUCUGAGAGUUUUAAAUCUUAAAAGUAAAGAAAAGAAAUUUUGGAAUUCAUAAUUUAAAAGAAUUAAAGAACUAGACAUGAUGCUCCUAACACUAGAUAUGCAAUAUGUAGGCUUAUGAUGAGCAAGAACACAGUUCUUAUAUCUGGAAUUUUAUUAUUUGUUCAUCUACUUUAUGAACACAUUUUUUAUGUUUUUUAUAUCUUCUAAAAAAAAUCAAGAACAUUUUACCAAACUGGCACAGGAUCGGGUUGGUUAGAGUGAUCAGUUUGGGACUUGACAGGAACCAGCCCAAAUCAAUUUGAACCAAGCAAAAUUGCCCUGUUUCACACAGUUCGGCGUAGUUCAGACCAUUUUUUGCCAAUUUCAAACUAAUAAUUGAUGAGGGCGAGGAUAAAAGGCCUUCCUGACCACUUUGUCCUCUUCUUUUGAACUUCAAAAAGCUUGAGAGUAUGGGGGAGUGAGGAAAAGAAGGGGACGGACAGAUUUUGCAGGUCAGCAGCUCUGAUCAAGGAAGAAAACAGGCAAAAUCUUUUUCCCUCUUCUCUCCUCUCUUUUUUUUUUUCUUUUAAGCCUAAAAUAGGCCAAAAAUGGCUACAAGAAUGGGAGAUCAUGCCAAUUUUUUUUGUAUUUUGGCAUAAUUUUAUCAUAUGCUAUAAAUUUAAUUAUGCAUUGAAGAAAUCACCAUAUUCAAUCAAUCAUGUGAUCUUUUAGAUUAAAAUAUUUUUUCAGUUUAAAAAUAAAAAUUGUUCAAAAAAAAAAAACAGUAACAUGUUUGCGAGUGUGCAUGUCACUUGGUUAGCAGGAAACUGUUGAAGUUUUGGCAUGGUAAUGGCUACCUGAACCUAACCCCAAUUUUAAAAAAAUAAUCAAAAAUAAGUGAUUAUAAUGACAUACCCAUAGGCAGAAAAAUAUAUGUAGUACCAAUGAUAGGCUUCUGUAUUACUUUGAAUCGAUUUAAUUUUUCAGACAUUUUAUAAUUACAUAUUAAUAUUUUUAUUUAAAAUAAUAAAAAUAUUUAUAAAUACAAAAUAUUGCAUAGAAAAUUUAGAAAUAUUUUUUGAAGUAAGUCGGCCAUUAUUUGCAUUACAUUGUAAAUUAUCAAAGUUUUAAAAUGUUUAAUACCUUAAAAUUAUUAAUUCAUCUAAAAUAAUGAAAAAUAUGGCAAUGUGUAUUGUUAAUUGGGAGUUUUCUAGGACACGAUGCAUAGUUUUUAAAUUAUUUUAUGCAUGUAUUAAGUGAAAUUAAAUUAUAAAGUCGCUAAUAUAUCUAACAAUAUGGCAAUGUCAUGAUCACAGCUAGCCGAAUCCCAGUAGAAGGAGCAACCAUAGAAGUCAAGGGAGCCAGUCAAAAUCGCAAGAGUCUACGUUUGAGAACUCCACCCAAAGAUAUAACAAGGAGAUGGUAGGGAUAGGUCACAAUGGCACCAGGCCAAGCCAAGGAGGUCAGGCCAAUCAGCGUGGCCUUCUAUAGCAAUAUGGCUAGGACCAAGAUUUACCGUCUCGGUACUGGAUCCCAUACUAGUACCAUCCCAUUACGGUGUCAGUACACAAUACGGAAUGAGACCACGAGACAUACCGAGAGUUGGUAUAAUAUGAGACUGUCUAUCGGUUCGGUACUGGUGUGGUACGUCUGAUACAGUAGAGUACUGACCAAUACAACAAACCUUGGCUAGGACAUUCUGCAAGAAUGAAAGUUUCGCCACCUAGCAUAGCCAGUCAAAUAGGGGCAGCCAGGGAAAGAAAGCAGUUCAUCAAAGUAACAAAAAUAGAAAAGAAUGAAAGAUGUAGAUCCAUUAGGGAGAGUUGAUAAGGAGCAUGUUCACUUAGAUUUCAAGACCACCGAGCCCUUAAAUGACCGGUUGGCUAGAUCAUCUCACAAUACGAGCAAUGAUCUUAACGACAAUCAAAUGAUAAAGCAUCUACUGGCUAGGGAGGUAGCAGUAGACAUGGCGGGGGCGAAUCAACUUGCAACCAUAUAGUCUGAGUCCAUUCAUCAUCAAGUUUCAUUUCACUCAUCCCACAUAAGAUACGAACCAAGGUACAUGAUUUAAAACUCGCUAAGGUACAAUAGCAUAUAGGAGACGAGCCUCUUGAGGCAGUUCAAAACUGACACUACUGUAGCUAAUGAUAUAGAACCCAAAGAAGGAUCCUUGGAUGUCAGUGGAUCCUCAUUGUAUAUUGAGUCAUAUUCUGCACAGCCGGCUUAUGACCCAUAAGCAUACCCUUCGUUUGAUGGGUCAUAUUUGAGUGGCCACUACCAUCCACAGCCCCAGCUAGAAUAACGGUCAAAUUUUGGUACCACAAUCUUUUCUCAGGUGAGAUAGCAAGUUCGACAUCAUACAAAGGAUCGGUAUCAAGGUGGCUAUCCAAGAGGACCAGUUAUUGUAUAUGGAGGUGGGCAUAAUACCUUGGUUGGAGUCAAGUUCAAGACCUCAACUAUGAACGAAAUCCGGACAUCUACAAGCGGUAUAGAUACUCCAUGAGGGACUAGAUGUCGAUAUAUAUUUUGUAAUUCAAAUAUAUUUGAAUAUAUAUAUAUAUUCAAGUUAAAAAUUAUGAAUUAUCUAUGUUUAUUUACUAUGAUUGUAUCCAUCAAGCAAUCAUCCAGUCUUGAGACUAAUAUGGAAUAAAACAAUAAUAAAAUAACCUUAAAAUCAUAUUACAAGGAUCCCUACACUUUAAAAUAUCCAUAACAACUUAAAAAAAUAUAAAAAAAUGAACUAGUACCAUGCCAAUACACUUCUACAUGUUGAGCAUCAGUAUCAAACUGGUACGGUACCUAGUACCAAAUUUGUGAACCUUGAUCUAGGCAAUCAAAGUUACUCUCUUCCAACUGAUUUCCUAGUGAUCUGAGCUUGAUCAAUUCAAAUCUUGCACUUGGAGAGCUCCCAACAUCUCUCAUUUCCUCUCCCAACCUUCAUAUAUUGUAAAAAAACAAAGGUUUUUCACCUGGGACCUAGCAAUACACACCCAGAUUGGGCUCGACCUGACCUUAUUUGGUGCAACAUGGGUGGUUCAGGACUUAAUAAACCGCCAACACCAUAUGCAAGCCUAAUGUAUAACAAUUUCCAAAUGAUUAUGACCCCAAUCAUGGGGCUAUCUACAUUUCCAAUAAAAAAGAGCUCAUAUAAAUUCUCGUAUAAGUGAAAACUAAGGGACACCUCAUUUUAAAUCAAGUAAUCAUUCUUCAACUAGUCCAAUUUAUAGAAGCAGGCGGCAGUUUCAGAAUGUUGACAAAAUCAUCACACCUUUGAAGGUAUGCAAUGCCAAGGUUUGCAAGGGAAUCCAGGUAGUCUGGAACAAUGGCCAAGAGGGAUGACAAAACUGAUAUAGCACUCUGGAGAAAAUAAGAGAACAAAAUUAGCAUAAAGAAAGAAAUGUGAAGAUUGUUAGUGAAUUUUGUGAAAUAACCUGUAAAUAUUAUGAAAUUAAAGGGGAAAAAACCAAAGCAGAAAUACUUGAGCACCUGCAGACGAUUAGUUCUAAGAAGUAUCAAACCAAGCGUAUUCCAAACAGCAGCCUGUUUUGGAUCUGAUUGUACCGACUCUUUCAAUUUCACAAGAAUCUCAUCUAGUUCACCCAUUUCAAGCUCUUUAUCUGAGCUAUCCCCAGUAUGUGCUUGCAAAAUACACUGCAAUGGGAAUGAUGUUAAAGCUAAGAAUAGUCAUUAUCAAAUAUCUAUUUUCUGACUUGAUUUAAAUGUCAAAGAGAGCAAGGAUGCAAAGUAUAAUGUUUUGAGUUAUAAGCUAAUGCACCUGUCCAUGGUGUAUCAGCACCAAGGAAAGCAAAUCUGGUCUCCGAAUCUCUUCCUCAUCCCGUAGUAAUAUCUCAGAUGAUUUUUCAAAUGCUAAGACUGCCUGGAGGAUUAUCAAGAGGAUCGAAUUUGACAGAAGUUGCAGUGAAGUUAAAAAUAAAUGCCAAGAUGAAAUUCAGUAAUUACCUUCUGUGGUUGACCCAAUCGUUGAUACAUUAGGCCAAGGAUGAAAUGCACAUGAGCAUUUUUGGGCAUCUUUCGUGCGACAUGAACCAAACCCUACAAGCAUAGUUUAACUUUACAAUACAGAUAUUUAUGAUGAUGAUGAAACAGAAAAAUAGCACAAGCACACCAUAUAGAAUGUCGGGGAAAAACUAAUCUCACUAAAAAUAUGGCAGUUAUACAGACAAAUGUUUGCCACAGAAUUAGGAACCUAGGCAGUUUUAUCCAAUGUAACCUUAACUGUAAAAUAUAUCAGUUAAGUUUUAGCUAGAAAAGUCUAUAUUCAAAAAAGCAUCACACAGAUAGAUAUCAAGAUGCAUCUUUACCCAAAUGUACUAGCAUUUUUCUUUCGAGUGCAUAAAACUUCCAAGGAAUUUUUCUGAGACGAGUAAAAGGAACGACGUUGUUCCAGUUCAAAUGAUAAGAUUUGUCUUCAUCCCUCACCGCCAACUUUUUGUAAAGUUCUCAAAUAUUUUUAAAGCAUCAUACCUGAUAAUAUUUUCUGCUAAUCAGUGAAACUGUUUUAAGAAGAAGUCUAUGUAGCUGCAUAUGCAUAUAUGGCCUCCUGACCACCUCAAAUAGGGUCUAGGCUGCCUUUGCAUGUAAACAGGUCCAACAGAGAGCAUCAAGUAGCCAGCAUAAGCCCAAGCCACAGAUAUGCAUCCUCCCUCCACCCUGUGUAUAGUUGUUCUUAUUUGACUGAAUUUUAAAUCAAGCUAUCGACAAAUUUCCUAUUUUUACCUAUAAGCACGAGUUGAUUAUUUUUAAUAUUUUUAAAUAUGAACUGCAUAGGCAGCCACAUACUGCUUAGACACUAUGGCGUACCUUGAGUGCUCACAUACAAUUGCUGCCUUUUUGAAACCUUGGUGACUCGCUGUACUUUUGUACCUAAUUUCAUCUAUUGAUUUAAGUAUAAUUUAUCUACAUCAGGACCAGUAAUAUAAUCUAUAGAAACUUGCAAAAAAAAAAACAAAAAAAAACAAAGAGAGUUCUAUAAAUUGCGUAAGAGACAUACUCUCUAAUUAAGUAUUCAUAUAUACAUAACACUAAAUAAUAUUUCUUAUUACCAAAAAAGGAACAAUUAUAACUUAAAUCUGAGCACAACAGAAAUCAGCUCAAGUUUUAGAAGUGUUUAGAUUUCCUUGUUUAUCUAUUUUUAACAACUUUAAAAACCUUUUCAGUCUAAGAUUGGACCGAAAUGUUUCAAUAUAUAUUUAGCAGUUUUCUUUCCACUUUAAUGAUUUCACUCCUAAAUAAUUUUUAAAAAUUUUAUAAGAUGCCCAUGAUACCAAAAAUCAGAAAAAUAAUAAAAGGAAAUACUAGCAUAGUGCAAGUUAAUUAAACCUAUUAAUCACUGGCUUAUAGUAUACUAUCCUUUGGACAUAUGGUUUCUGUCCAUUCAGUCUUUAGCUAUUCAGAAAUACAAGUCUGCUAAAACUUUAAAGUAUCAAGAAUUAUGCAAAUAGAGAGAGAAAAAUCUAGAAAAUUAAGUUAAAGAAAAAGAACUAUUAGGUUGUCUAGUAAUGUCAACUCUUAUUGUCAUUAAAUAAUGAUGAAAUAAGGUACAAUAGUACCUAAACGAAUGAAUAUAACAUCUAAAUCAUUAUUAGUAGAUCCAGCUUGCUUAUAACCCAAAGACACAUACAAAUUGAAUAAAGUCUAAGAUCUUCAUCGAACAACCACUAACAAAAAGAAAUCGUUGAAAAAAAAAACCUUUUACAAAUGGUUUCAAAACCAUUGUAAAACUAGCAAAAGUUGACUUUUAUCAAUGAAAAUAACCCCUGAGCCCAUGAUCAAAUCACUCAUCUUAACUCAAGAUAUUUAAGAAGAUCCAAAAUAUGGAAAAUAGGCNNNNNNNNNNNNNNNNNNNNNNNNNNNNNNNNNNNNNNNNNNNNNNNNNAAGCAUCUGACAAACUUAAGCAAAACCCUCAAACUCUAGUCACCAUCCUGGUUGGGGAUUAGGACAGUCAUUAGUCAUUCAUUGAAGCUUUGCAUCUAUAGGUACAUCUUUUUGUAGAACUAAAUGUUUAGCUUUAAAGAAAGAUGACAUCAAUGACAGAGACGAUGUGUAUGGUUGCAUAGGAGGGCAAAAGGUGCUUUGAGAGACCUGUAUGGCUUUGUCUGACUGGCUGCAUUGGUGCUCCCUGAAGUUCAUGACCCUCAUCCAUGGUCAUCCAUCAUUGCAAGUUACAACUUUUAUUGGCUCAUUUAGCAGACUAGACCUCGGUCACUUCUCCAUUACCCUAAUUAUUUGUUGCAUGCUCACAGGGUGCGAUGCCAAGUUCAACUUACUCAUGGUUCAUGAGGGUUUGCAUCAGCAAAACACUUGUCCACUCAAAUUUCAUAUUAAAAAAUUACAUUCAUGAUAAUUCAGAUCAUUUGAGCUCAGUACCAAAAUUCUUAAAAAAUCAUACAGCUUCCUAAAGAUGAGAAACUCACAGCUUUUAGAUUGCUGACUUUUUCCUCGCGCGACAUGGAAGCCCCAUGACACUGUUGAUCCAGAUCUGCAUCAUUUCCAACAUUAAGCAGAUGAUCAACAUUGAAUCUUAUAUGGCAUUUUCCUGAGCUAAGAACCUUACCUUCAGCUUCAACAAUAUCAUUGUCUUUGAUAAUCACAGAAUUUUUUGCUAGGUUGCUUUCAUCGUUACUGCUCCUGCAAAUUGAUACAGUUCCGAUUAGGAAUUCGAUUAGAUUAUGAAAGCAAAAAUAUAGCAGCAAAGCAACAUAUCUUCAAAACAUUCUAAAAACUGUUGUAAUAAAUACCAUAAGGAAAUUUAUAAGAUCAAUGGGAUACAUAAGUGCGUCGUGCAAAGGCUCAAAUUCCAGUUUGUACCAGUCCACCCCAAGCAUCCUGGCUAAGACUGGCGAGGUACUGAGUCCAAGAUCCCUAUAUAUGAAAUUAACAGGAGCAUUUCAUUGAAACCUGAUUGCACUGGCUAGUAUGAACCAGGAUCAGUGACUGGAACCAACUGACACUCAUGGGUAUCUGCCAGGAUGCAUGAAAAAAGGAGACCCGAGGCUCUUUUCUUUUCCCUGUUUGCUUCACAUUGGUGCCUCUCGAAUAAAGAUAGAGAGAAACCCCAAUACAAAUCCUUCAACCUUACUGGCUUUCAAAGCCCCUCCUCCAAAAAUAAAUGAAUAAAGAAAGAAAGAAAAAAAAAAAGGAGUCUCAAAGCUGCUGCAAUGGGCCUUAGACACUGGACUGAGAACCAAGGAGAGGCCUUGUGCAAGUAACUACUCUAAAUAGAAGAUACAGCAUAACAGGAGAAGGGAAAAGGAGAGAAAAGGUGGGGAGAGAGCUCAGAUCAUGGGAGGCACCAUAAAAUCGAUACCAAAUUAGUGUUGAUACUUCCACCAGCUCCAUAAGCCCAAUUAUCAGCUCAAAAGCCCCUCAUAAUCCUAAAAUAUGAACUAAACAAAUCCUAAAAAGCCUCUAAACAAUCAUUAAAAAUAAGAAAUUUGGAAAUAAUGAAUCAUCCCCUUGCACCUUUGCAAUGAACUAUUUGUAUUCAUAAAUGUAUUCCACAUAAACGAGUUAAGAUUUUAUAGGACUAAAUAAGAAGGUAAAAUACUGCUUUAGGAGACGUUAUUCAGAAUGGAAGCGCUUGAGAACAUAAACCAUGAUAUAGGGAGGUUCACUUCCUCCCAAUAUCUAAUAAUUUAGCACAAGUCUAUCAUGCCAGCGGACAACCGAACUAGGUUGAGAUUUGAGGUGUUAACUACCACAAGAGUAAGGUUUUGGCUCGAAGAGCUACUGUGAUAAACAAUAGCAAAGUUAAAGUUUGCUUUGAAGUAUAAUUAUCAUUAGCAUUUGAUGAUAGAAUAAGGCAUUAUCACAAGCUGUUGGUGUAAAUAUCUUACGCUUGCCCCAGACUUACUGCAAGCUUUUCUAAAUACUUUUUAAAAACUUCCAAACCUUGCCCAUGCCGCCACAUCGCAAUUCCUGAGCAUUAACAAGUACCAAAUAUGAUUUAUUUCAUUGUUUAAAUUGUAUUCUUGCAACAAUCUCCAAACCUUUAUUACCCCUUAUUUGUCUGGGCUUGGGAUCAACAUAGACAGAAUUGGGGGGAAAGUUGCUUAUUUUGGAAGAAUCAAGAAACUGAAUGCGACAUCUAGUUAAAAUCAAAUACAGUUGCAAAUGACAAAUCUGUUUAUUGUUUAAAAACUUAGGCAUCCACAUUAUGCCCUUUUAUACUCUAUCUACUCAGAAUGAACAACUGAUCGACCCUUAUUUUUGUAUAGACUAUAUUUAGGCAUCCAAUUCCAUCCCUUUUAUCACAGAUGAGAAGGAAUUGUAUCGAUCACCCCGUUAAUGUUUACCAUCUUCCCUUAAUAAAUAUUGCUAACUCCAUCCUUAAUCAGAAAGGUAUGGAUUAUUUUAUUUUCCCUGGGAGAUAAUCCAUUUUGCACCUAAAAGAACAAUUUAUACCUAACAGUAAAACGCUCUAAUUUUCCUUUAUCAAACUUCUUGGGCAUAAAAACAACAUCUUGGUGAUAGAAGACACGAGAAAGGAGUGUUUGCCAGCCAAUAAAAGGUUUGUAAACCAUGAAUGCGAGGAAGAACAAGCAGACAACAAAGAAGAAGAGGAGGAGGAGAAAGAAGGCGGAGGGCGACCGAGCUGGAGGGACCUGGCGGAGGAAUCGGGGACGGAGACGAGUGCGCAAUCCUCGCCGUCGCUCUCGGGGGGAUCGACGUUGAGAUCGGCGAUGAUGGCCGCCUUGGGAGGCGGCAGCGCAAUCUUGACGGCCUCCGCCGCCGCGGCCGCCGCCGAGGCCGCCGCCUCGAAGUUGUGGCCGCCGGCCUGAUCGCCGUUGGGCGGUGGCUGGGUUUCAGACAUCUCCCGGCAGGGGUUUGGGGGUUUGAGAAGGACGACGGACGGAGCGAGCUUGGGUUGCCCCAAAAAAAGUUUGGAAUCGAUCUUGAUUCGGUUGCCCAAUGAUCCCUAAUCGCUCAUACGAUGAACCCCGAGCCACCGAAGCCCAGGCAGCGGAUUUAACCGAUUUUUUCAAAAGAAGAAAAAGUGGGGCGCUUCUUUUGUUUAUCCAAUUCCACCACACCCUUAUAUCAGGGAUUCAGUAUUCCGCGCAUGCUUUGAUCAACGAGGAUCCAUCGUAUGGAUGGUCGCUAUAACAUCUUAAUUUGGAUUGUAUUUUUUUUUUUAGGUACCGGCUACUCGCACUAAUUUCGCAUGAGCAAGACCAACAGAAUACACAAUUCAAUAGAGAAAGAACAAUAGUAUGAUGUUCCAGAGAGUCUCUCCAAAAUAAUGGGCUGCAUGUAUUUGUAUUUAAAAAAAAGAAAAAUGGAACAGGCUAAGCCCACAAGUGUUUGUAUAAGGUGUGCAAAAGUUUUCGUACCAACGUGGCACACCAUUUUAGUGUGCUAUGUUUUAUUUAAUCAUGUCUUUUUUUACCCUCUCAUUGGAAUUUUCUUUAUCUAUUCCUUUGGAUUUAUCUACGCUUGUAUUAUUUAAUAAUUUUUUUAUAAAUAUUAUUCUAAAAAUUUAAAUUUGCGUGAAUACCCUCUUCAAACUUAUAUUUAUUUUUGUAUUCUCAUAAAACACUGUUUUUACACAAAUACCCCAAAUAUAAUGAUUCUUCUAACACCGUUAAUGAUUCUUUUUUGUCUUCCAUCGUGAUCGCCUUAUAAAUAUUUCUUUUUUCACAUCUAUCCAUUAAGGGUAUAUUAGUUAUUUUAAUUUGAAACUGUUAAUUUUUUUAACGGCGUUAGAUUGUGUGGAUACAUAUGCAAAAAUAAGGAUAAAAAAGAAAAUAGCAAAACAAGUGCUUUACGAGGGCAUAUAUGCAAAUAUCACUUUUGGAAGGAUAUCAUACAAAAUUUGAUAUUUAGAAGGAUAUUCAUGCUCAUCCAAUUUGUCAAAAAAAAAAAAAAAACUUUGUUUGAGGCAACUUUUAUGCUACCCUUGUUAUGGCUUUAUUGGCCAUUCUCCUAUGCAAAGUUACUGGAUCCUUGUUUGGUGCCAAUUGGAUACUGGUUGUUGUCCACCAUGUGGUUGACAUGAUGGCAUUUCUUCUAUGAGGAACUCACUCGAGAUCUUGUGGCAACUUGUCAGGGUCGUGAUUGGCUAUUUGAUUUUUGGCAUGGUUAUUCAAAAUGGAUUCAUGAUAAAACUAUGGUAAUGUCUUUUUAAGUUAUUUUUUGCAUAACUCAGUAGGAUUCAAGGUGUUAGAUCUGUGAAUUAGACAAUUCAUUUGGAUAUAGCCUAUAUAAACUUAAUACUUUUUAACUUGAAUACUGUCCUUCUAGAUCAAACAAGUUUAAAGCUUUUCUUGAUUAAAAUUGAACCGAAGAGAUUUGGUUCUAUGUUCAUGAUUGUUUGUAUAUUGCAUGAUAGUUGUGACCACAAAAGCUUUAUGAGAUAUGGAAUAGCAUAUUGCAUGUAGCAUAUACGGUUUAUGUAAUUAUAGAUAUUACGUAAUACAAAUAACCAUGACCGCAAGAUUGGAUCUGCUUGAACCCAAAGUAGAGAGGGUAUAGAUUCGAACAAAAUCAUUUAGAUCACACUUAUUUUGAGGAUUUUUAUCCUUUUGUAUUUACUUACAUAAUGAUUAUCUAGGCUCUAUUUGGAUAUACUAAAAAAUAGAAUAUUUUAUGAAUUUUGAAACUACUAACCUUGAUUUUGCAAUGUGAGAAGUUUUUUUGUGCCAUGAAAUCUCCAAAUUAUCCUUAAAUCAUAAAAUUGAAAAAUUCUAAUUGGUGUAGGAUUUUCUGUAUUCUUUUUUUUUUUUACCCUAUCAGUUGUAUUCAAUUUUUUUCGUCAUUAAACUUUCUCUUUUUAACGACUAAUCAAUUUCAAGAAAGCCUCGAACUUUAAAAUUUAUAGAAAAAUAAAUCACAAUUUUAAAUCUAUAACAUUUAAUCAUAAUAUUAAUCUUUACUUGAUUAUGUUGAUUGUUACAUAAUGGAGUAAUUUCUAAUGUCAUCAACCAUUUUCAUAUUUUGAAAAAAAAAACAAUUCAACUAAAUGCUGGUUGGGUAAAUAGAACUAUUAAAUUUAUUAUAAAAAUCAAAAAAAUACCGCUGGAUUCAUUAUAACAGAAUGAUUGCAUAAAAAAUAUAUUAGAUGUAAGAGGAAGGAUCAUAUUAACAAUGGUCGUGAUAGUAACGUGCAUGUAAUUAGAGAAACUAAUACAUAUGAUUCCAAUCUCAUUAGCCAAUGCAUAUUUUUGUUGCCUUAAUGCAAAUUUUGAGCUAGAGUUCUUGAUAAGAGAAAGAAGUGCAUGUUCACUAAAACAACAAAUAAUCUUAAACUAAAUAAUAACAUAGGAGAAUGAAUGUGACAUCGCAAAUGAUAAAAAUUGUCGAAUCCAAACUUUUUUUUUGCUGUGACAAAUCUAUGCAACAAACUAUGUAUAUUUAUAAAAUAAUAUUUCAUAACUAUAAAAUGUUUAGAUUUCAUAAAGUAAAUAAUUUAAAUGUUUCAAAUACUUUAAAUAACUAGUACAUACAAAAAAAGAAUUUAUCUUUUUUAAAAUAUAUUUCUAUUUUUUUAAAUACCGGUUCAGCGGACCUUGAUAGUGGCAGACACCUGAUGAGCCAUAUAGUUUAUUUUACUAUUUACAUAGCUAGAUAAGUGGAGGCUUAAGCUAUUUGUGCCACUUAUCUCUAUGCCUCUUACAAUUUACAUCCUAAACAACUACCAGCCUAGAUUUCCAAGAUGUGGAUAAAAAAAAGCUCCAUUGUUUUCCUUGACUAUAACUAUAUGCUUUCAGUCUAGCUUAAUAUUUUAUUUAACUAAAGUUGAGUAUUUCAUUAUAGUCUUGAUCUUGGAUGCAAAAUGCAACUUGCUUGAAGCCUAUUCUGGAUUUUAUCAAUGAAUGAGGACUACUGAAUUUGGUUGUUACCAUAAGGAGAGAGUGCUGCUACUUUAUUCAAUGGAAAUCAAAACUAUUAAGGUUUUUUAAGAGCAUUUUGUCAUAUCUAUGGAAGUAUAGCUAAUAAGGUUUGUUAUGUUUAAUUCUUGCAAACAUGGUAGGAAAAUUUCAACUUAUGAUCUUCUUUUGUUUUGCUUAUGUACUGCAAAUUAUUAUGCCCAUGAUUUCUGCUAUUUCUUUAAGAACAUAUUUUCACCUUUGCCUUUCAUGCUGGCCAUGUUUCAAGUUUUAUCAGAACCUGCCAUCAUCUCUUACUGUCUAGAGAGUUAGUUCCAUGGUGAAACAGAGUGGUUUGACAAUACUGGGAACAUUUUUUUCGCCUACCACUUUUCCUAAAUGGAAACAUGAUCUAGUUGUGAAGCAAAUCUAAGUUUUACAAGAGAGGAAAAAAGAGAGGAUAUGUUUGAAUGUAUUAUUAAGCAUGUUGAAGGCAGAUAUGUUGAAGUAUAUUCAUGGUGUUCGAUGUUGCUGCAUUUAAGUGCGCACCACCGUUUGAGCCUCGUUGGGCCCAAAUUUUGGAGAAUUAAACGUGUAUAUAUAUAUAUAAAUGCACAAAUAUUUUCUCAAAAUUAAUAUUUAUAUUUAUAUCUUUAUAAAAUACUUAUUUUAACUAUUCUAUUUUCUUUUUUUUUAUUCUUGUUUUUACAUAUAUGCUCAUGUUAUCUAACGCCAUUAAAAAAUUAAUGGUUUCAAAUUAAAAUAACUAAAAUAUCCUUAACGAAAAGACGUAUAAAAAAACAUUUAUAAGACGAUCACGAUAAAAAAUAAAAAAGUAAUUUAAAUUUUUUAUUUUAUUUUUAAUUAAAAUAAAUAUAGUUUUUAUUAACAGUGGUGCUAGAAGAACUGUUAUAUUAGGAGUAUUUAUACAAAAAUAGUGUCUUAUGAAGAUAUAAAAAUAAAUAUAAAUUUUCAGAGAAUAUUUAUGCAAAUUUAAUUUUUUAAAAAAGUACUCAUGGAAGAAAAAAACCUAAAAUUUUAUUCUAGCUCUCGUGCAUAUAAACCAUCUUGGGACUGUAGUUUGAAUUUUGAAGUCUUCUAAUGCAUUGAAUCGUGCGAAAGUUAUUUUGUGUCGGGCUUGCAGCAUGAAACUAUUGUCAUGAAUCAUGCUUCAGAAAAAUGUGAUGAUUGGGACCCUACUUCAAUUAAUAAUGUCAUCAUGAAACUUUUGUUGCAGUUUUAAGCCUUCCAAUAAACGAUUUAUGAUAAAGAUCUAACAGGGCAAACCAAAAGCCUCCAUACAGCUAUUCAAGCAUCAAGAUCACCCGCUGAUUUAUCAGGAGCUACAAGUUCCAUGAAAGAUGCCCAUUGAGCAUCUUGUGAUUGGGUAAGUUGAAUGCCGUAGAGAAGUGGAAAAUAACAUGUUGUGGGAUGGGGUUCCGAACUUUAGUCCCAUAUCGGCUAAUCAGCGGAAAGGUCUGUACCUUAAAUGGGGGGCUCAAUAACCUCUUCUUAUCGAGGCGCCUUUUGGGGGCAAAACCGUGAGGGGUGGAAAGGGUGGUUCCACCCGGAGCGCCACCAGAGGGUGGACCCCCGGGAGCGGUCGACGUCGCUUUCUCUGCUCGGCUGGUGUGCGGACUGUUGCCGGGGUGAAAACCCCGCAACAGAUGGCGCUAGAAGGAGGGCCCUGGCCACGCAUAGACCNNNNNNNNNNNNNNNNNNNNGGGAGGCUGUGUUGUGGGAUGGGGUUCCGAACUUUAGUCCCACAUCGGCUAAUCAGCGGAAAGAUCUGUGCCUUAAAUGGUGGGCUCAAUAAUCUCUUCUCAUCGAGGCGCCUUUUGGGGGCAAAACCGUGAGGGAUGGAAAGGGUGGUUCCACCCGAGGCGCUACCAGAAGGUGGACCCCCGGGAGCGGUCGACGAUCCCCGAUCCCCAGAGCGGACAAUACCUCGGUGAGGACGCAGUCGCUUUCCCUGCUCGGCUGGUGUGCGGACUGUUGCCGGGGUGAAAACCCCGCAACAUAGCACAAAGCAAAUAAUUUCAAAAAAAAAAAGAAACCGAGACAACAAAAUAUAUUUGAUGUUAAUAUUUUUUUAUUUUUUUUCAAAAUCAUUUUCAUUGCCUCUAAAAAAUAAAAAAUCUUUACUUAAAUUUUUCAAAAAUAAGAAAAUCUUUUUUUUACAAUCAACAUUACCUCCAUUGUCACUGCGUAUGCUUUCACCACAACUGCUGCUACCAUUCCUCUACACUCCGCUGGCUCGUCGGCACACCUGUCCUUGCCACCACCUCAGCUACCAUUAUAUUGUUGCCACCUCCGCCGUUUUCUCGUCGCCUUUUACCACCAACACCAUCGGCGCUUUCAUUAUGUUGCUUCCAUUAUCUUGGUCACUAUUACCAUCACCUCCAAUACCAUUGCCAUAUUUAUAUUUUCAAAAAUAAUCGACUACAAAAGCAACAUUUCAGUGUACAAGGGUCAAAUAUAAGCCCCUCCCCACCAAGUGACAUGCAGAUGUUAUUUCCAUAUUCUGAACUUGUGACACCCAAAAUACAAUAGACCAACCUUACAUUGCACCAAAGCCCAUCCUAAAAAGUAAUUGACUAUAACAAACAUAUUUAUAUUUUUAAAUACUCACAAAAAUAAAAUAGAAUUUCAAUUUUAUGUUUUGAAAAUAAAAAAAUAAACUUGAAAAAAAUUCUUUUAAUCCUUGGGAUCUUUUAGAGAAUGGUUAAGGAAAACACAAUUAGUUCCUACCAUAGCAUAUAUUUGAAAGGAUGUUCACCAUCUGUAAACCUUUACAUCCAAAUGAUAUAAUGUACAGAAAACUUCCUGCAUGACACCGGCAUAUCAAACAUAUUAGUGAUCAGAGGCUUUACCUUUAAUCCAUCAUGUAUCUUUAAAAGGACUAAAGGCUAAGACAUAAUAAAAAUGUAUAUCCAGAUUAGAAAUUACCAAUUAGAUGUUUAUUCUGUCACACAUGAGAAACUCUUUUACGCUUCAAAUAUGUUCUUUCAAAUGGAAGAACUAAUUUGAACUUGUACCUCAAAUUAAUAUAGAUCCAUAUAGACUUUCAUAAAGGAGGGGAAAAUAAUAAUAAUAAAAAAAGAUAUGCAAGAAAUCUGUUUACAACUAAAGGAGAAACUCUUACUGCUAUUUUCUCUGCGGUAAGAUUGUUGAGAUAGAUGAAGUAUUAAGAACUCAAUUAAAGGAGGAUUAAAUCUAUGAAUGCAUUAAUGGCAUGAUAGACACCUGGUAAACAGAAGGAUCAAAUGCAACAUGUUUCAUUAACUGACAUAAAAUAAUUGUUCCCCCGAAACACAUCUCGUCCCAAAUUGAUAAUAACAGAAAACAAGCAGACCCCUAUUUCUCAAGCAUAAAAUAGACAGUUCAAAAUGAAAGAGUACACAGGUAAUUAUUGUUAAAGACACAAACGUGAACCAAAAGCUGCCAUUAUAUAAAGAAGCCUGGAAUUACUUCUGAAGCUGGAGCUUUUUGAUAGAUUCAAUUUGCUUUGCAGGGUUCAGUCCCUUAGGGCAGGCAUGAACACAGUUCUUUAUAAGGUGGCAGCGGUAAAGUUUGAACUCAUCAUUGACAGCCUCAAGACGCUCCUUUGUGUAUUGGUCCCGGCUAUCUUGUAUCCACCUAGACAAAAAUACCCAGGAAACACACCAAUGUGAAGAUAAAUACAUGUUGAGAACCAAGGUCACAUACUCUCAUCGAUCAAAACUAUAAGCAUAUAUUUCAUAAAAAUGAUGCAACAAACUCUUUUGCAACAGUUGUCAGUUGUGACAUUGUAAAACAGGUGAAAGCAAUAAUGAAAUUAUAAGGAACCAAGAUUCAGAAAUUGUGCAUAUGACACGGGAAAAAAGAAGUAUGUCAAAAGAACAUGGAUAUGCCAUGGUUUGCUUAUCGGAGCAGGUAACCCAGUGCCCCAUUCUUUUCUUUCCCUUUUCUCAAUCUAUCUACAUUCUCUUUCCUCAAACACACACAAAAAAAUAGCCCUCAUUUUCCCCCAUCUUUAACAUGUUCGAUCCUUUCUUUUCAUCCUUUAUAAUCCAGAAGUAUUCCAAGCACAUAAAUCAUAGAAACAAGCAGCAUGUGGUUGAAUUAGCAAUAUCUACAUGAUGCAGAUGACAAAACCAACAUAUGUUUAAGUAUAAUGUUCAAAUAUCACAUCAUUUUAUAUGCAGAAGUACUUGUCUUGCUUUAUGUUAGAUGUACAGUCUCUUUAAAUUUCAAUAACAGAAGAUAGAGAAAAGAUAUAAUAUGGUAAGAUGAUGGUGUUUACCUUAUUCCAACACUUAGGUGAUGUAUGAUUCAUCAAUUUGGCAAGUAAGGACCAUAUGAAAGAAAGUACUAAACUGGUUAUCUGUGUAGAUGUCAAAUUGAUAGGUACUACAAUAGAAUGUUCAUUAUUAAUAUAAGGGGGGCUUCACGGAUAGUUGGAUUACUACUUGCCUUCACAAGGAUACUGAUGUAAUGCUCUAACAACUCUCAUUCAUGUUAUUGUACGUCUUCUCACCUAUUUCUCAUGAUUCCCCAAGAACUCACUGGUCAUCUUUAAAAUUCUAGCAAUAUGUCUCUACUAAUUGAAUGAAUCUCCAUCAAGAGACUGAAAUAAAAAAAUCAAAAUGCUUCCAAUCCGUAAUAUCAGAGUCCAUGACCAACGGGCUUCUCUCUUGAGAGAGAUGAUAAAAAUCAUGCCAUACGAGGUUUUUAGUUAAUUAAUAUAUGAUGAAUAGGACAUAGAUGAUCUUUGUUUCACCAGUUCACUUUUUGAGCAAAGAGUCAUGUAUGUUGAGUGUCCUUAUCCUAUAUUUUCAUUUGAUAAAAGGUCAUUGCCUCAUAUGUGCAAACUGAAUAAUUUACAUCAACUCAAGUUGUUAAACACCUGAUAUACAAAAACAGGAUAAAAUUAUGUCAUUGUCUGAUCAAAUAAGACCAGAGUCAGUCAGAUGUGCAUUCACUCCCUUAGGAAGCGUGUUGGCUGCAGGUAUGCAGAAGUGGGUCUCUGCAAAAAAAAUAGCAAAAAAAAAACACUUAGGAAGCGGGUGUUGAGACAAGUUUCCAAGGAGUUUCAAAAAUCAGUACGCGACCCUAAAUGGAAGAUUCCUACCCCUAAGCUCACUCCUUCAGCUAACUUGAUAUGAGUUGAAGCUAUGACAAUUGUUGGCACUGUGAUUUUGCAGCUAUUAACUCUUUUUAGUUUGUAAAAAGAAAAACCAUUUUUACACAUCUGCUCAACAAUUUUACAGAAAAUUAAGAAGAGGACCACCAAAGGUAACUGGAAACAAAUAAUGUCCAAAAGAGGUUUUCUUCUGUCACUCAGUCACAGCCUCGUGGUUGGAAAGAGCAAAAGUAACAGUAUGUGUGAUCAACCUGAAGGUUGAAUAGUUAUCUGAUUUGACCCACCAGGAAAGAGAAAAAGAACAACAGGUCAUCAUCAGCAGAACUUGGCUGCCACAAAAGGUUUUGUGUGUGCGUGCGUGUGUGUGCAUGUGGAAGCAGAGAUGGCCUCCUUUCCCACCAUUCUAACCUAUUGAGGGAUUUGACCAAAUGCUGAAGGUAAUUUCCUUACUAAGCCACCUACAGAGAAGCUAGUCACCAGAAGAGGGAGAGCUGAAGCUUCCCAAAAAAGGGCCAGAAGGUGCCACAAAGCAAGACUCAACCUGUGCGUAUCAAUGUUUGAACUACCCUCUCAGCUAAGUGUGGAGCUAAAACGCAAAUCAAGUUCCACCCAACCUAAAUCAUCUUUUUGUUAUGAGGCACAUCCAUACCUAAUGAGGUUAGAUUGAUCAGACUUCCUGUAACAUCUCGGGUUCUGCGUUCAAAUCCAGGUUUGUAACUCUAUGUACCUGAAGUUCUCAGAUAAACUGCUGAAAUCAGCAAGCAAAAAAGCCCCUCAGAUCAGAAGCCAUGAGAUAAGCCCCAAGUUGAAAUCUCAUAGGUACAUCUCACAUCUCCCUGUUUAAACUGAUAUUGACUAAACAAACACCUGACAUCCAUCAGAUUAUCAUCCAGAUCCAAAGGAUUAAAUAAAAGGGGAAAUAUGCAAAUUUACUCAAUAAAUGCUAAACUCAAAUAAAAAAACAGUACCAGUUUCACAUUAAACAGAUAGCAAUAACAAAUAUGUAACUUCUCCAAAUUUCUCACCCUAUUUACAUUCACCACUUGAAGUACUUGCAAAAUUUGGCAGGACCAUAGACAAAUCACCCAAGAAAAAUCAUCAAGGUUUCUCUAUUCGAAUAUAACAGCAUCCUUUUUUCUGAUUUCUUUUCAUUACAUUUUAUUAUUUUGUAAACACAAUAGAAGGGAAUGAUUACAAAACCAAAAAAUACUCCCCAGUUUCCAAGAACUUAUCUUCAAAGCUUCACAGGAAGAUUAAUCACCAAAAAUAAAAAGAAAUCACCCCGGAGGAAUCCUCUAAGCAUCAAUCAUCAUUUAAAAAUAUCUACAUUUAGAGAUUAUAAAUCCGCAUUGUUACCGUCAAACCAUGAAACUGGAACACAAAACAAGCAAAAAAGAAGGGAUGAUUCCACAAAACUUCACCUUUAAGCUAAGAACAAGUAUCAAUCAAACAAAAUCCAACCCCAAUCACCCCCCGUCUUAAAAAGAAUUCAGAAAGAAAAAGUGGUCAAGGUAAAAAAACCCUAACCUGUGGGCAUGGAGGAGCGCAGCGGGGCCGAGAUACGACUCCGGGUUCCACCAGUAGCUGGGGCAGGAGGUGCUACAGCAGGCGCAGAGAAUGCACUCAUACAUACCAUCCAGCUUGGCACGAUCCUUCUUGCUCUGCGGGAUCUCCUUCCCGGGGACCGGCGGCGGGUCCUUGCGCUUGAGCCACGGCUCCACGCUCUUGUACUGGUUAUAGAAAUUGGUCAUAUCCACCACCAGGUCCUUGACCACGAACAUGUGCGGCAGCGGCGUGAUCGUCGUGGGCGAUCCGGCCGACGAGAUCUUGGUGAGGCAGGCGAGGCCGUUGUCGCCAUCCAUGUUCAUGGCGCAGGAGCCGCAGAUGCCCUCGCGGCAGGAGCGGCGGAAGGUGAGGGAGGGGUCGACCUCGUUCUUGAUCUUGAUGAGGGCAUCGAGCACCAUGGGGCCGCAAUCGGCGAGGUCGAUCUCGUAGUUCUGGAGCUCGGGUUUGGAGAGAUCGUCGGGGUUCCAGCGAUAGAUGGAGAAGGUCUUCAUCCGCUUGGGCUUGGUGGACUGGGGCUCUGAUUGGGAGGAGUGGGCCUGCGCCGGGACCAGGCGCGCCGCCGUGGCCGCAGCGGGGGUAGGGGCCGGCGGUUGGGUCGGUAGCAGGCCGCGGAAGGCGGCGGAGCCACGGCGGAGAAGAACCCUCGCGGCGGCCAUCGAUGACGACUGAAGGAAGAGCGAGAGUGAGAAGAUGGAAGGAAGCUUACCUUGCGGUGAAUGUAUCGCAGCGAAGUGGGCGUGACUCCCCAGGACAGCGCCACACGCGUCGCCAUAUCUAAAGGUGGAGGCGACCAAUUAGAAUUCACAACGCCGACCGUUGGAUCGCGCCCAGCACAUCUCUCAAAGCACCCUGAACUCCUUCACUCAACCGCCUGCACGGAUCUCGAAGCAACCAUCUCGAUCCAACCGUAAGUGCGCGCGAAGGACGGUGAAGCCUUCUUUGGCGCUAAAGAUGCAAUCCCGUCCCUGACGCGCGCAAGAGCCAAGAUAGCAAGGGAUAUUUUCGUGUACAAGAGGUUUUGCUCUAACGGCUAGAUUUAGAGUGCAAUAGGAUAUUUAUAUCUUGUUCGUUAUCUAUUGAUUUCUAUAAUUUAUAAAUGAUUAAUUAUGAACGCCAUAUUGAGAUUUGCCUAAGUGGAAGAAAAUGUUAAAGGUGAAGAAAUUCUAGGCUGAUUUUUUUUGAAGUAUUUAGGAUUAAAAGGAUGAAUAAAAGGAAAAAGAAAGUCAGAUUGUCCCUUUCUAAGGGACUGCUGAUUCUGAUUGUUGUUUUUUGAAUUUUUAGUUAGGAGCAAAUAGAAAAAUUCAAGAUUUCUGAAAAUUUAGACUUUUUUUAGGAUGUUUACUUUAGCAUGACAAAUUAGACAGAUGGAGAACUAGAAUCAUCAUGAAAUUGUUAUUUUUGAAAAAAAAAAGUAUUUUUCUCUCUCCAUCCAUGGCUACUUAUGUGCACCAUAGCCGCUUUUGAUAGGUGUAAAAAGCAGCUUAAAAUUAUAAGGGGGAGAUACCUUGUUAAUUGUACAAUUUAUGCCAUUGGAAAGCAACCUUCCAGGAUGCCCUUUGUAAAAAAGUCUAACAAAGAGAAUAAAGAAUUUUUGCAUUAAGAUUUUAUGACAAUGCCUCUCUUCAAUGGUCUCUUUCUAUGCAACCCUGAAUUAGAAUGAGAAAAGUGGGCAUUUGAUGGUUUUGAAAGGUUACUAAUAGUUCUAAAAUUAUAGGAGAAUGAGAAACCAACAGUCGAAGCUUUGAACACUAUAUCAAAAUUAUGUCGAAGUCUCUAUGGUAUUUGUAAUCGGAAUCAUGGAAAUGGGACCGAUAGUGCAUGCAGAUAUCUUCAAAAGAUGACUCGUUGGAUGAAAAAAUUUACAUGCAGAUCUAAGUUUAAAAGUCCCUUGUUUUGUAAUACAUGAACAACUCUGGCUGGCCAGGUCUCUCAGGAUAUUGCAAUUGUGCCUGCUGUUGUUGUGCAGGGUCAUCCACCUUCAUGGAAGUAGUAUUCAAGGAUGUAGUUGAAGGCUAUUGGGUAUGUCUUUCUGAAGAAAAGAAUGAACUUCUCGAAGCCUGAAGUUAACACUUGAAAUGAUAAAUUAAAAGAAGAUAAAGAGUCAUGAUUUCACAUGUGCACUGAAACAAUAGGAUAGAAAGUUACUUAUUGUCUAUGUUGAGACGACUACAAUAGCCUCUCAAAUGUGCUUGUGCUUUAGGCUUGGGUCAUCAAGCAUGAUUCUAUAAAUUACAAUUUCUAGCUUAUCAAGUACGAAAAAAAGGCUUGUAGCUACUACUCGUAUUCGCACAUAGUAUCAAAUGCUUAUGAGGUAUCAUCUCAGAAGAGUAAAUGUCAGACCUAAAUUCAACUCAAGUCAUUUUUACAUAUAAGAUUUGAAGCAAGAUUUCAUACUUUUGGGACAACUUUCAACCUAAUGUCAACCCUCAAAUUUUCUCAUCCAAGCUUGAGAAAAACUUUUAACAACAUCAAAGAUGAUCCAAAACAGAAAUACUCGACGGACCAGGAUUCUUGAAAUCGAGAUAUAAUCUAAGAUAUGAUCCAUAACUUGGCCAUUCUAGGGUGCAAGGAGCUAGGUUAGAAUUUUUGAACUAUUUUUUUAUUCAAAUUAAAAUUAAGUUUAUGAGUUGAUCAGGUGUAGUCAAUAUUACGAGAACCACAUCUUCCCCAAUUGAAGGUCAAGUCUUGGUUCCACGUAAGUUUCCAUGUUACAAUUUGUGAUACUAAAAAGAGUCAGAAAAAGUCAAUAGAUUCGCCUGCUCAUGCCAUGUUGUCAACCUCUUUAACGAAAGAUUUGAUGUCCGAACGUCUUUAACUGAAAUAAUCUACAACCACUCUCCACCCUUGUUUCCCACCCAUACAAACUCCCUCUCUCGCUCUAUAUAUAUAUAUAUAUAUAUAUCACCUUCUUCUUCUCUCUUCUUCCAUCCCCAGUCUCCUCCCUCGUAGCAUUCUUCUUGUAAUAAAGGUGACCACGACCGACCUCAUGGCGAGUCUCCGAGCUCUCUUCGUGCUUGCCCUUGUCCUUGUGGCGGUCGUGGCCACCGAGUCUGCCUCAUCCCCGGCUUCCACCCCCUCCGCCGCCCCGGACACCAACAACCAAAACCCCCUCCUGGCUCCCAAACCCAACACCCCCCUGCCAGAUUCUGGGGCAGAAUCUCCUGACGGUGAUGCCAUGGACGAUGACGACGCAGCACCAGCUGGAUCUCCCCACGCGGCCACUGCAAAUAAUGCACCAGAGGGCACGUCGAACGCCGACUCCGGCGACGGUAGCCCCACGUCUUCUGACAACAGUAGUGCCUCAGCUAUUGGGGUGACUUCCAUGGCUGCCGUCGCUGCAGUUGCUGCAAGCUACAUUGUCUUCUAAGCUGGUUCCAUGGGAAGCACUCUUAUUUAUUGCUAUCAGAUUCUUGACAGAUUUGAGUAUAUAACGCUUUAAGUUUGAGAGUGCUUCUUCUUUUUUUUUCCUCCUCAUGGUCUGUGUUUUGCAAUAAUUUCAAUUAUUAAUAAUAUUAUUAUUAUUCUAAUUUUCUUGGAAUUCAUGAUAUAGAGAUGAGCUGAAGAGAGCUUAAAAAGAAAAUAAAAUAAAAAUCUCUUCCUUUUGGAUUCUCAUAUGUAUGUUCUAUUUUAUAUUUCGAGGGUCAAUGCAUUAGAGCAAACAAAUGAUAAACAUUUAAUUUCCUAUAAAAUAAAAAUUUGGAGUACAAAUAAGGAACAUGAUGGAUGUAUGAACAUCUAAAGAGAAACUCUUAGGAUAUGUCAAGUGUCUUUGCAAUCUUUAAGAAAUAAGUGUUAUUUAUCAGUACUCUCUUUUUUUUUUUGCAAAUGACCCUUCCUAAUCCUACCUUGUGCUUUGUAUGUUAGACACCAAAAGGUUUUAACCAGCUAACCUGAUAGACAGAAUGCUUCUAGCUCUCCUACGCAACAUCAGAUGCCUUAAAUUACCUGAUACAUGACACCUUAGUCAAUAUAUAUGGUUUGGUAGCUGAAGUUAUGUUAUAUCAAACAGCCAUUGUUGUAGGCUUAUGAGAGCUAUGUACCAAGGAAAUGCUCACACAUAGACCAUAGUGGUCCUCUGACAUAAAAUUGGUUGUUUUCUCUUGUUGUUUCUGAGCUACAGUCUUGCACCCUAGCAUUCAUCAGUCUUUGCCUAAAAGGUCAGCAGAACAUGGAGGCAAUGGGGUUUAAACAUCAUUAACCAUUACAAGGUCAUCAUAGGAGGUUGGUGUCUCUAUAAUGGCAAUUUAAAAGCUCUUGACAUUAAGAAUGGUGGUUGCAAAGCUUUCCCCUCAGCUCAACUGAUAUCAGAAUAACAAUCAAAAAGAAAAAUCACCAGAACUCCUCUUUGCUCCAGUAUCAGAAGACAGGCUUGCUCCAUAGCAAAUAAAACAGCCAGAAUACAGACUUCAUGAUUAUUUUGGCAUUCCACGACAAUAUGGUUGCUCUGUUGUACAAUCACUCAGCAGUGUCAUAGAUUCUGAAGCAUUAGAGUUAUAUUCAUAUUCUAAAAUGUAAUGCCGCUGAUUGGAAUUCAGUCCAAACCAUGAUCAUCAUGGAGUACAAGUUCACAUAGUCCCUGAUUCAAUUAUAAUUGUGAUUAGUUGCUGCUGCAUCUGGCCCUUUGUAGAGCAAUGUACUCUACAAAGGCCUUCUUGGAGAAAAAGCAUGAGGGCAACAAGUUUAUUCUCGCCUGCUUCUAGCUAUUGCUAAUAAACUGAAUUAGAGAUCUUUCACAUUUACAUGUAGAAAGAACUCAAAUUUAAACAUACGGUCGGAGAGCACUAUAAGCAUAUGAACUAAGAAGUUGUAGUCCUGGCUGGUAAUGAUGGUCCAUAUGAUACGAAACCUAAGGAAGCAAAAAAGAAUGAACAAAAUGCUUAGUAUCAGAGACCUCGGGAACUAACUGAGAUCGAUCUGGACCCUUUCUGGUUUAGCUUUCAUGCCCGGCUGCCCAGAGAAUUCAAUGCCCAGCUGACCCUUGUUUCCUGAUCCAAAGGCAUAAAGCUUCCCUGAUUCUGUUAGUACAAAUGUGUGCACAUCUGCAGUCCAACUUGAUGAGUUCGUAGGGCCAAUCUGCACGAUCCUUUCAGUGACUUUAUUGAGCGAGGUAACCAGCUUUGGCUUUGUUAGAAUUAUGGGACUAUAAUCCUGCAUCAAAAUAUGUCAAAGUUCAGCAACAUCUAAGGAAACUAAAUUGGUGCUUGUGCUUGAUUACAUUGCUUCAAAACAGAAAAUUGGAUGUUAAGUCCAAUAUGGAAAUCAAUCAUCAGAUAUAUGUGCAUGAUGCAAUCUGCAUGCUCAAGUCAAGGAUGUUAAAAUGCAGGCAAUAAUGGUCAUUAAGAGCAAGAAAAUGCAGUCUGAGCAAAAUUAUGGAAUUUCGAAAAAGUUCAGUAUGGAUUUAAAAUCAAAACUGAAAAGGAGUAUUCAUUCAAUGUAAAUAUAUUCACUAUAUUCUGCAUAUAAAUGCAAAUUUUCAUACGAAUGGAUUAGAAAUGUCUAACACCGAGCUUCAUAGCAUCUUACAUGCAGUUAUUUUAUUUUUUCGAGUCAAAAAGAAUGUGAAAUGCACAAAUUUCAUGCAUAAGAGAAUAUGACAAGAUCAGCAAGAGCUGAAGACCAUUUCACUUAAAGUAGGUAUUGCUCUUGUACCUACUGAGGCAUCAAUGAUGAUUCUGGUCCUCAUUGUUCAUUUCCAUUUAAAACUAUACUUUCUGAACGAAAAAGGAUGAAUCGACCACUCUGUUUCAUUUUGCAGAAUGCAAAUGAAAUUCUAUAGCUAUAUUUUUUAUGGAGAAAAUUUUCAUAUGUUUUUCUUCAGAAAGAAAUUCUCCCAUGUACAUAUAGUUCUAGAAAGCUUAUCCUACAAAUGAUUGGUGAUGCUCACUCUUUUACUGCACUACUAGAACAUGUUCAUCUGCACCUCAAAAACACAAGGAAAGCAAGUAAAACAAGUAGAAUGAGCAUACAAACCUGUCCACGAGCUCCAAUUAUGUGACCCAGAUUUGAGGAUUCUCCAUACCCAAAUGAGUAGAUAUCCCCAGCAUCAGAGACCACAAAAGUGGUAGAAUCGCCUGCUGCAACAUAGACUGCCUUAAUGUGGCUCAGGCCUUCCACUACCUUGGGAAGAGCCUGGUAAUCUUCAUUGCCAUGGCCCAGGCAGCCACAGUUCCCCCAGCCCCAAGUACAUACCCGCCCGUCUCGUCCCACAACAGCAGCAUGCCAGCUUCCUCCUGCAAGGCAGACAGGCUGCAGGUUCAAAGUGUUAAAAUGCGCGACCAACCUCGGGUACUUCUCAUGAGCUGUGGAACCAUGUUCUAGCUUUCCUCCCAAUCCACAGCCUACAGUGUACACAGACCUGCAUUACACUGAAAAGUGAGGUGAAUUCUGACAAAAUUGGGGAGCAAAGGCCCCUACAGAUUGUGGAGUGCAAGCAACAAUCUUGGAUUUCUUCCUCAUAGUGCUCUUAGUUUGAGAGGGGAAGAAAUGGAAACAACGAACGAUUAAUUUACUGCCAAAUACUCCUUCAAUGAAAAUUAAUUUACUGAUGUCAGAGAGAAUGAUAUAAAGCAUUCUAACAUACUGUCAUGCUGUAUGAAGUUCCAUUCAAGUGCAUGAUUAUUGAAGAAUUUCAGCAAUGCCGAAGAGAUCAAGUUUUUGUAUAAUGACGUAUGAGAAAGAUCAGCUCUUUACAAGCACACUACAUAGAAAGACAAAGUGUGAAGGAAUUUGAUUGCCAGUAUUUAAAACUCCCCUUGUUAGAAAUCUUGUUUCAUAAUAUGUUCUUCUUAUAUUAGAAAUCUUGUUUCAUAAUAUGUUCUUCUUAUAUCUGAAGUUGAAAGCAUAUAACUUUCAAGAAAACUUACAAGCCAUUAGGUUGAAAAGCAAGUGCUACAAGGUAGCAAUAGCCAGCAGCAAUCUGAACCACAGGUAAAUUCUCGAGAGGACCCAGGAGAGGACGGGGCUCUCGGUCGCUCGAAUCAGUAUGGUGGCCUAGCUUUUCAUAAGCUCCCCAGCAUAAAGUAUACACCCUGCCUUCCCCAGAGAGAACUGCAGGGAAUAAGCGACCCAUUACUGCUUGAACAACAAAUAUAUCCUUCAAAGAUUCCACUAGCCGAGGCUCUGCAACAAGCUUCAACUCAUGAUUCUGCAAAUCUGCUUCUCCUUCAAAAUUGUCCUCCCCAAAUGCAUAAACUCGCCCGGUAUCGCUGACCAGCACCGUCUUGCCCACUCCCACUGCUGCUUGAAUUAUUCGAAUGCCUUGCAGCGAUCUGUCAACCACCACCAAAUGUUUUGUUCUCUAUAAUCUCUUUCUACCUAAAUGUGUUCAUAAACCAACAGGAGGAAAUUUUAGAAGCACCUGAUUAGCUGCGGCCGUGCUUGAUUCUCUAAAGUGCCGAGGCCGAGCUGCCCCGAGCUAUUGUCACCAAAGGAAUAGACCGCACCGCUGGAGGUCACGGCAAUGCUGUGGCCAGGGCCUGCAAUUGCCUGAGACUUCCCUCUGCGUGUAGAAGAUUCAGCCGCCUGCAAAAACUUUAAGACCAGCUUCCAAGAACCACCACAUCGCUGCUUAAGUACUUCCCUUUCCUCUUCCACCAUUGCCUUAAAGAUGGUCCUUUUGAGGCACAUAUCCAAUGCAGCAACCUCAGGCAGGGAUAAAGAGAAGUCAGGUGCGAAAUUGGCAGGCUGCUUGAAGAAGGAACAUGUGGCCUGCAACAACCAACCACAGAGAUCGAUCAGCAGCAGAAGCAUUGCUAAUUCCAACACUGGGAAAUGGAAAACAUGGCUACUUGCCUCAAGCCUCGCAAGAUCCUGCGGAUCGAAGUUACAAGAAGUGAGGAUAUGGAGGACCAUGGAGGGGUUCGCCGCCAAGGGGAACUCCCCGGGGACGGAGUCGCCUAAGCCAUGGCGCUGCAGUCGCCGUUGGAGGGCGGGGAAGAGGAGCGAGAGCGGCUGGUCUAUGAUCUCAAGGUUCUCUGUUGAAGGCGCUGCCUCAGCCGUAGUAGUGAUGGUGGUGUCCAUGGCCGUGCCGCUAACUUAAAAACAGUGUUUCAAACUGCAACUUCAAACCAAAAAAUAAUCAUCAUCAAAACAACAGCAGCAGCAGGCUCAAUAUAAUGCAUUUAAAAUUGCAACACUCACUUUUGAUCGCUAUGAAAAGAUUUGCACAAUGCUGGAGAGUUGAAUCUAUAUGAAAAAAAAACAAAAAGAACAGAUUUUUAAAGCCAUAAAUAAUACCCUUUACAAUGAGAAAAAAAGGAAACAAAUACAGAGACCAAAUAUAAAAUAAUUUCUACUAUGUUAAACUAAAUCACGUGUGAUAUGAACAAUAUCAUUUUUGGAAAAAGCAAAAAAAGAAAAAAUUAAUAUGAAAAAAAACCAAGCAGUGAAAUCUAUUAACUACAAACUUGGUAUUUAGGAUCAAGCAAACGGAAAUCCAACAGAAUAUAAGAUCACGCGAAUCGGCAGAGGCAGAUGGAUCGUCACUGGAGAUCAUUAACGAAGGAAAGUAGAAAUAGAUAUAGUUAUAGGAGGAGGGUUAGGGAAGAAUACUAAUAUGAGCACAAUACCAUUUAAGAAAUUCAGUAUCUUGGGUCAACCAAAGAGAGGAAUUCCAUCUAAAUGGGAAACCUUUUUUUUUUUCCUCGAAAACAAAUAAAUCUGAUAACUGCGAACUUAUCUCCUGGCUUCCCUUAUAUCCGGGCCUCCCCAACCGUCCACGGUUUUCUCGCGUCCUCGUAAAUCCCGCCUUACGAGUUUCAACACCGUUGGAUUUGCUUUGACCCCACCGUGGACCAGCUCUAGACUUGAGGGUGCAACUUCUUGUGGUGGAGUCAAACCUGCGACCAACUCGUGGUUGGCACUUGAAGAAUUCACGAAAAACUACGCAGGACCAGCUAAAAGUCACUGGCAUCCCAUAGAUUGGAUUUGGAUUACAUGGAUCAAACUUCAAAUUAUAACUAGCCUGGGUUUUUAAUGGCUAGAGUUUGGCAUCUGAUCACAUGUAAAGUUAGUAUGGAUGGUUGUGAUCCUUUAGUUUGAGUUGUUCAUCAUUUGUGUGCCUUAAUAAAUGUGCACCUAAUUCAGAUAGAGGCACUUAUCUUGUAUCUUUCCCUGAGAAUUACAACUGAGCUAAGCAGGGUUUUGGCGAUUUAUUGUAGAAGUGAUUUUAGUGGUGACAUCUAGACGUACAGAACUUAUCUACUUUUUAAAAUUUUUGACAUGUAUUUCUUUCUUUCAUCUUUCUUGAUAGAGAUACGAGAAUCAAAAGAAAUAGAAAUUCUAAACAAUAUUAUGUUCGUAUGAGUUUCUUGGCUACUCUACUCAAACUUAUGGAUUCAGGUUGUAUAUUUCGUCUAGAAGAAUGAUUGAUCUUCUUUCAAGAUGUUGACUAUUGAAUAUAGAUUAUAAAGCACUCUAAACUUCUUCAUCCAUCCGCAUGCAUGGAUCUCAAAAUGCCAUUGCAUGAUCCAACGGUGGAUUCAUCUGAAGAAAGGGAAUCAUUCUUUCAUGUGAAAUAUGCAACCCCUGUCCAGACUUAUUUCAUAAUUAUCAUCUUCCCAUGGAAUGGUUGAAAUCAACUUUAAUGGGUCGAUAAUGGAGACUAAGAUAUGUGUUGAAUUCAUAAUCCAGGAUCUAUUAUAGAUGGCUGAUGCAUGUGGGAGCUCAUAACCUUCUUCCACAUCAUACCUAGCUUAUAAACAUCUACCUACGUGAACUAAAAACAACUAUAAACGUUCAACCACAAGAUGCCUAGCUUAUAAUCUUCUUCUACAUCAUACCUGAUCCUAUCUUCAUGAACUAGGACUCAUCUUAAUGGUUAUAUCUUUUGUACCUGGAAAUUCGAGACUAUCUUUAAAGCAACUUGCACCUUCGCGGAGGGUAAUUGACUACAAAUGAGGAUUUCACAACAUUCUUCUUUUCACACUUUCUUUUAUCUAUUCUGGUAAAUGUUGAUAGUGUACACUGCACUUUUAUUAGAUCGCCCUCUUUUAAUUUUUUUUGGUAUACAUUGGAUCACCUUUACUAUACAAAAAUAUAUGUUUGUAGUAGUCUAUCAAUCAGCAAAUUAAGGACUCCGGAAUAAGUAAUUAAAUCUAUUAGUUUUACAUGGCAUUCCAUAUCAUAAUAAAAUUCAAGGAGUUCAUUUUAUUUAUUUAUUUGUUUAUUUGUUUGCUUGUUUGUUUAUUUAUUAUUUGUAAAUGCCCUCUCACCUUGGUAGUAAAGAUUCUUGAUAGCUUUACCUGAGACUAAGUUCAGAUCCACUUAAACCUACUCCUUUAAAAGUUCCUUUUCAAAACUGUAUCAUAUAACCAUCAAGUAGAAGGUGAUCUACUGAAAUCGUUAGCUAAAUAAUAGAUACUACUUUGUCAAGCUAACCAAAAAUCUAGUUCUCCAUGUGUUUUGAUAAGAAAAGCAGGGCUGUUCUGAUAUUGUUUUGGGAAAAACUAACAUGUCAAAAGCCGAAGACUAUUUUGUGACUACAACCCGAUCAACCGUCAAAAAAAAAAAAAGAAUCAUGACGGCAGGGCUUUACAAAAAUGGAGGGGAAAAGCUCAGAUUCAUGCCUAGUCAUCUAUUAGAUAUAAAUUUAGCAUGCAUCAAUUGCAUCAUCUAAAAAAGUUUCCGACGAGCGGAUUAAAGUUCGCAGCUAGGUCUACAGGCUGCUUGCAAGAUUUCAAUUUUAACUCCCACAUAACAGUAGAGCAUAAUAGAAAUAUCAUGUCAGAGCCAAGAAAUUCAAUAAAUUUUUUAGAAGUGAAUAUGCUGCAUAUUAUUACCAAUCCCAUCUGCAGCAAAACCUAGAAUCCAGCUUUGCUCGAGUAUCAACACAACCCAACCCUCCAUCUUAUGCAUGAUAGCACAGGGCUUCUGUACUUCAUAGCGACUGAUGCUCAGAUGAUAAUAAUGCCACACGGUUGAAAGAAAAUAGCAGCAAGGAUAUAUCCUGAAUGAUCGGUUUAGGGCAAAUUUAUACAGGUCCAGACCUUUUUCAUGGCAAUAUCAAUACAUCCUUAAAACAUUUGUCUAAUGUUUCCUCAUUGCAUAAACUACGCAGAAUAAGUGAUUCCCAGAAGCAAAACCAACCCCUACCAGCUACCUCAUACUCUGCGGAUAGAUGUCAAAUGCUCAGUGCAAAACCAUAAAAAAAAUAGGGUGAGGCCUCCCAUGUUUGGCUGACAGAGCACAUGCAGCAACACUAGCAGCAGAAGUCCUGUGAGGAAGGAGUGCAUGAAUUGACAGGAGAAUCAAACUGGUGCUUCAGGUGGCCGUGGCAUCAGGAGAUGGAACAGCUGCUUAAAAGGAUGGCAGGAGCCAGCUGUGCUUCCUGCCAUGCUCUAUAUAUGAUUGAAACUUUUCCUCGGCAUUGGGAAUGUCAAGAGCCAAGUCAUCAAGCCCAUCCCUCACCCUGCAAAACCCUUUUGUCAUUUGGUUGAUGGUGAUCAACCCUUCACUGAAACUCUCUUGCAGCAGAUCCAAAAUCCUAUCAUUCUUCUUUUCCAUUGCCAUAACUAAUGCUUUCUUUACGACUUCAUGGUUGAAAAAAGGCAUCCCCAGGUCACGGAUGCAUUGGCAUGCUUCCCCUACAUCACCACCAGUCUCAAACUCCUCCAAAAGCUUUGUUAUCUUGUCCUUUGCAUCUUCCACUGCCCAACCCGAGCCCCCACCCCAGCAUCUCAGAAGCCUCUCACCUGCAUGGCGAGCAGAAACAAGCGAGCGCGCCAUGCGAACAGUCUCGCUUCCACUACAAUUAGGUGGGAUCUUGCUGCUGAUCUCCUCCAGGUUUAACGGGGCCAGCACAUCAUCAAUUACAGCCCUAGCUAGAAACAGAGCUAGCUCAUUGGAGGCAUCUAAAAUGUCCAAUGCAGUAUCCUCUGCAGACUCAAGUAGCAUAAUAAAUCCAUUAACAAUAUCAUCCCUCGAAAAGAUUUCCAUACUUAGUGCAGAGAGCAGGACAGAUGCCAUUUCCUUUUCCCUGUUCUUUCGAUCCAUGGCAAGUGUGAUCAGUUUCUUGAUGAAGACAGGAUUAUACUCUGGGGUGGCAAGGUCUUCAAGGCUUCGAAUGAGUUCAGGUAUGUCAUCUGAGAGAAAGUAUUCAUGUAUUAUUGUCACCACUUCUUCCUUAUACUUUCUUAACUUCUUGUUUUCUUCAUCUCUGCCUUCAACAUCUGCAUUAGCCAACUUCAGGAAGGAAGGGUCGAGCCAUCCUUCAGAAAUUGCUCUCGGUACUAGCAACUGGAACAGGGAUUUUGCAGAGGGAAUAUCAAGAGAAAGGUCAUCGAGACUCUCGGCAAGCCGUGAGAAACCCUUGGUCGUCUGACUAGAACUAAUUAAACAUUCUUCUGCUGCUUCUUUUAAAAGCUUUAAAAUAAGAGGCUCCGAUGUGGGGAUCUCCAUAGCAAGUAUCAAAGCUCGUUUUACAACCUCAUGGUGGAAGAAUGAAACCCCCAACUCCCUUAUGCACCUACAGGCCUCUGCUGUAUCUCCACUCUCAAUAUAUUCCCUCAACAAAUCUGCGAUCUUCCUUUUCACCUCUUCAACAGUGAAGUGAGUACUACCACCCCAACGUCGCUCAACCAACUCUGCAUGGUGGGGUGCUGAAAGAUAGCUCUUUUCAGCAGUCUGGAUAACUUGAAAUCCUUUGGAAGACUCAGCAAGCGUUCUCUUCACCCUAGUGAGGAAGGCAGGAGGUAGGAUAUCAUCAACAACUGCACGGGCAAUGAACAAGGCAAGUACAUCGACAGCAUCAAGUAUGUCGAGUGCCAGAUCGUCAACAGACUCGAGAAGCAUGACAAACCCUUGGCUGAUUUGAGCUGAACUGAUGACAUCAACAUAUAGAGCAGACAACAGAACUGAUGCCAUUUCUUUUUCUUUGUCAUGCCGGUCCAUUGCCAUGGAGACAAGUUUCUUAACAAAGUAGUAAUGGUACUCAUCAGAACCAAGAUCUUUAAGAUCGGAGGAAGCCAACUCCACAUCACCAGUGGUGAAAUACUCUUCAAUGAUUGUCAGUACAGACCUCUUGUAGUCAUCGAAAGGGGUUGACACUGUGGCACCAACUAACUCAUAUGGCUCCUAGCAUCACAAAUAAUUACAAUAAUUAAACGCAUAAUUCAUAUAUGACUGAUCCACAAGUGAAUGUAUGAGAAUAUUUCACUACAUUAAAUUUUUCUAGAGCAAGAGAAAGGGUUACUGAAAAAAGGAGUAACCCAAGCAUGCACACAACCCCACGUGCAAACACACACACACACACACAGAGAGAGGAGAAAAAGAGAGGAGGGGGGGGGGGGACCAUACCUCACCACUGUCAUAAUUUGGAUCAUUACGAUCAAGGCAUGAAUUAGAAUCAGUAUCGAGCAGUUUGCCCCAUGUGCCUUUACCACCAGCACCAUCUGCAACCACAAAAUUAGCGAAAGCAUGUUAGAAAAGUAGGCAGAAGCUGAUGCAGCGUUGCUGGUAUAUAAAAAUAGAAAGCUUCUAAGGCCAUCUAUGAUAGAUAAUAUUACAAACUCUGCUGUCAAUCUGGAAACAAACAGAAAAGAAAAGACAUUGUAGCAAUAUGGUGGAAACAGGAUAAUGGUUAGUGACUAAAUUGAAUAAUCACAAUGUAAUGCAUAGCUGAAUUUGCAACAUUCUUGGGGAUUAACAGUCAAAAAUUCCCAAAUCUUUCAUUGAAAAUAGACCAUCUUGGUUAGGCUGCCAAUGGAGCCAGUCUCAAUCAUUUCUACAUGCCACAGCCAUCAAUAAGCAUCUCCUAAUACGGCCAGUGCAUAGUGAUGAUAGUGUUGGUUCACACACAGAAUUAGUAAGUCCUAGCGCAUAAGUCUCAGUUCUAAGGUCAAGCUUCAUUCAAAACAACAGGUGAGUGCCUGGAUGCAGUCCAUGCAAACACACAAAUGAAUGCACAUUCAUUCAACACCAUGGAAACGACAAUUUAGAGGCUCUAGAAUAAACUGAUCCUAACAAUUCCUCCCAGAAAAAUACGUCCAUAACCAUGGAGAAGCACAUAAUUCAAAGGAUUUGCUAAAAGGUAACAUGUACUACUCAAAAGCACUGAAUUUCUUUUCCGAUGCAAAAAAUACCAAUGAAUGGCAUUUCCAGAUAAAUUAUUCCUUCAUAUUGUGAUCAUUUUUUAAUUAAUAAUAUUGAAUAUUUUCCAAGAAAACCAUUGGAUAUAUCGACAUGAUUCUGUUUUCCUAGAUGAUUCUAGUUUUCUCUAUCCGAGUGAAGCAGGCCAUACAUGAUUCCUGAGACCAGAUCCUACAACUGAAUCAUCCUCACAAUACAAGUUAUCCAGUGCCAAAUUGAAGCAAUUAGAAUAGCAAAAGAAAAGAAAAGAAAAAAAAAAGAACAAGAACCUGCCCUCAAAAUAAGUGAAAUUAUUCAUCAAUCUAGUUAUAAUGUUCAUUGACAAGAGAAAAUAUGAGAAUCUAAAGGGCAUGUGAAAAAGGCAUUUUAGUGUGAGAAAAUUUGUGGCAGAGGAUCUGAAUAAGCAACUGAGUAGGUGGUCUUAAAAAAAAAAGGAGAGAGAACAGGAUGGCUUGAGUGUCCUCAAAUAAAUCACUUGGACUGGAUGGUUUUAGCAUGAAGAUCCAUAAACUUUUCAUAGGUAACUAAAACAUGUUCUGCAAAACUAUAAACUCAUCGAGUACCAUUUUACGGUAAGUUGCUGAUUAUUGAGAAGAGCAGAACCACAACCAAAUAUAUUAACUUGUUGGUGACUGGGUCAAUUUGCUGAAGAAGCUGUUUUUGAGAAUAUCAUGUUUGGCUUGAUCUUUGACUCCAUAAGUUUUCUCAAUAAAUGAGCUGAGCUUGAGAACUGCCUAGCUUGCUCGUGUUUGGCUUGAUUAAGCUCAAAAUACACAUGCCUUAUGAAAAGUGAACAGAUGCUUUGGGGCAUUUGUUAAGAAUAGUGACCUCAAUUUCAUAUAUUAUAUGCCAAUACUGAUAGAAAGUUUAAAGCAUUUAAGGAAGUAUACUACCUAAAUUUACUGCAAAACCCCAAAUUCCUAAUAUUAGCUAUUUCAAUAUCCCAUUCAUGUUUACCAAAAUAAAUCUGAACCACUCGUAUGGUGGCAAAAGAAGAAGUGCAAAUGCAAUUACUGGAACUGGUAGAUUGCUGGAAAUUUUAAAGGACAAAUUAUGUGAAUUUAUUUAGUACCUAAAAAAUUUUGACCAAUUGACCCUAGGUGCCCAAUGCAAACAAUCAAUAUCAUUAAUUAAUAGACAGGAAUCACACAAAUUGAUACCAGAUAUGUACAUGUGUGAACAUGCGAAGAUUGAGUCAGCGAGCAAGUGAACGUGUUUGUGUGUGUGUGCAUGAGUGUCCGUGUGUGUGUGUGUGUGUGAGAGAGAGAGAGAGAAAGAUGACCUAUAAUACUAAUGCCGCAACUGAGGCAUCAAUUCUUUUGUUGCAACAUAAAUCCUAACGAUACAUAAAAGCAGCUAUAUUUCCCAACUUAUCAAUUCCCAUAUCACACCUAAUUAGAUUUCUCUCUUAUGUAUAAAUAAGGGAUUCCAUGUUGUUGGAUUUGGUAAGGAGCCAAGGGUGAAAUUCUCUUCAAGUUGGGAUUUCUAUGAACCUAUGCAUAAUAAAAGCUGUUCAAGAUUAAGAACGUAAUAUAGCAAAUAAAUCUUAAACAAUUUCAUGAAGAAGUCAUAUUAGUACUUAAUCUAUGCUUAAAUAUUUUUGAGACUUAUCCUUCAUCUUGAAAUCUGCAGCAGCCACAGAUAUUUGCACGUGCAUUAUAAGUUUUUAACAUGAUGGAUAAUCUAAAUCGAAAAUCCACACCAUUAAACAUGACCUUCAAUCAAAACAUUGUAUAGUGUCACUAAUUGUUCACUUCGUAACCUUUUGAUGCAUAAGCAGGAAUUCUCUAAACCAAUAUAAGAUUGGACUGCAGGCAUUACAAAUAUUGUAUGUCAAGUUUAAUGUGUGGAUUUCCAUUUCAGAAGUUCAAUCGCUGAUUCUGCACAUGCUGAUAAAAUAAAGGCUCCAAUUCUACUACUAACACUCCCCACCUCCAACCUCCCAAAGACACAAACACAUAAUUUAAUAACAAAAUGCACUACUUAGAUUUGUUUAAAUGAUAUCAAGAUCAAUUUAAUGAAUGAAGUAUAAAAAUCUCAGCUAUGACAAUCUGAACAGCAUAUUAAAUCACACAAAAUUCUCUACAAACCUCAGGUUUUCACGAAUCCCUAGAACAAACUGUUUUUAAAUAUAUUAGGUUGGCACAUGAUUACCAGAGCCAAGUUCGAACAAUCUUGGGCAUUAGUUGACUUAGCUUGGCCCACUUCCCCUUUCUUCAGAUGCACAACUAACAUCAUUACUCAUUUUGGUCUAUGAUGUUUAUUUCAAUAAGAUAAUGUGGACCGGCCAUGUAAUUUGUUGGGACAGAUAUGAUUGCCUAUUCCAUUUUUGUGUCCUUGCCCAUCGACUCCCCAAAACUGUGAACAAACUUGUUAUCUCUCCACAUCCUUCAGCCCUCUUGUAUUUAUUAGCAAUAGAGAUAAUAAAGAACCAGAUGAUAUGUUAGUUCUUGAUGGAGUAGAAUAAUGUUACAUAUGGGGCCUCCAGUAGAUACUAGAAACUCAAGUCCAUAAACUUUAAUUAUCAAACUGAGUUCUAGAAGAACAUAGGGGAUUACACCCAAAGGACCCACAGGAAAUUGAUGAUUGUAUUGUCGCUUCCUUAGUCCAACUCGUUUGAGUAGCUAAUACAUAUCUGGCAAUCUAACAUGCCCCUAAACCUGCUAAAGCACCCAGGUUUUUCUUAGAUUACAAAGUGUUCUACAACUAGACAUGAGGAACAAUUUUACCCAGGGAAUACGCUCCACAGGAAUCCCUAGUAUUCUCAACAGUGUGCAACAACAUAAGAUUGGUAUUAACUUGAGAUACCACAACAUUGAAUAAGCAUGCUGUAAUCAUAUAGCCUCCAUGUGACAACUAGUUAAACUGUUAGCAGAUGUUUUAAAGGAACUUCUAUUAGGUGUUUCAGCUAAACCUUGGCAUUAAAGAAUACCUUCACAGAUUAUACUUAGAAAAUGGUACAAGAUUUUCUUGUCAUGGUAAUAUAUACUCUUACAAUUUUGAUGGUAGCCCUUUGAUAGGUUUCUUGUUACUGGGAUCAGGCACGAGGGUCUACACCUAGAUAGAUUAAACACCCACCUUGGGAAGCUAAAGAAUGGAUGAUGGCAAUGCUUCAUAGGAUAGACCAAGGCAUUAUAGGACAGUCUUCCACAAGAUUUUUAGAGCAUCAUAAACAAGGUCAUCAAAAACCUACAAAAAUUUGCAGCAUGUACAUCAUUUCAAAACACAGCAUAUCAAAAGCCUCCUUUUGCAUGUAUCAGCAAGAGAUGCAUAACAAGGCAAAGGCAUCAUACAAGAAGCUAGUCAUAGAUCUUAUAAUUAGAACACACACAGAGAGAGAAAGAGAGAAAGCAUAGAUGUGAGAAAAGAAAAAUAUGAGAAGACAGAACAAAGAGUAGGAAAAAGAGACAGAUGUUACAUCUAGACAAUGCAUGUUGCCCCCAAUGCAUGACGCUUUUCUGCUUUUAUCAACACCCCAGCCACUAGAAAAUAUAUGAAUACUUGAAACGAUAGAAGCAAGGAGCUGAUCCAAUCCUAUCUGACCAUUAAAUCUGGGAUUUCAUCAACAUAUAUGAUCUGCUAAUAACCUUCAAACAAAUAAUAUUACAAAUAUUAUGCAUGCACUUCUCAACAUUCUGACAGAAGGUGCUCACUCAGCUUUACCUCGAGAAAAAUGCACUGUUAUGAUCUCACUAACCCAGCAAUGCCAAAAGGGAGCCAUUUAACACCUAAGAGUAUAAUUGGUACGCUCGAUAUAGUUGUCAAAAGUUGCUUGCAAGAAACCUAUUAAAUUUUCAUUCCUCCUCUAGAUAUCAGUAAUCAUGACCUUAACCAGAUUGAAUUUGUUGCCAACUGCCUUUCCCUAAAUCCCUGAAGAACCCCAAGCAGGAAAUUGCUCACUUCUUUAUCCGAAAUAACCCAGCUGUAUUCCAUUCCAAUCAGUCAAAGAGUAAGCAAGAAGGAACAUUCAAGAAAAAUUCAAUAAUCUAAAGUCUAAACAAACAAGACCUCACAAUCCUAAAUGUACUGAAAUGAUGGAGAAGAAAAUAACUUUCCCUGAAUUUUUAACAACAUAACAAAACUGUCCUCUAGCAAAUCAAGAUAAUUUUAAAGUCGCAGAAGCUCUUUAAGUAAGGAUACCGGCAGUUAGGGGAAAGAACAACUUGUUCCCCCCAAACGAGAGAGAGAGAGAGAGAGAAAGAGAGAAAGAGAGAGAGAGAAUGUGGCAGUAAAUGAGUUGACUCUAGGUCCUGAACUUACUCAGAUUUUAUCUAGUGAUCAAAUCUAAUGGUAAUAAUGAUGGUAAUUAGUAGGAUUUAUGAAUUGCAACCAAAAACGCCCAACACAAUAACAUGCCGGUGCUUCAUAAGAUUUUUUUUUCAUUUACCUGAAUGUGUGUAUCUUUGCAUAAUAGGAGUUAUUCUAGGUCCUGAGCUUACUAAGAUUUUAUCUAGUGAUCACAUCUAAUGGUGCUCAUAAUGAUGGUAAUUAGUCAGGGUACUCAUAAUGAUGGUAAUUAGUUGGGUUUGUGAAUUGCAACCAAAAAAACAUGCAACAUAGUAGCAACCAGUGCUUUAUAAUAUAUAUUUCUAAUUUCCAUGCAUACUUGCAUUAUGCAUAACUAAUAGGCGAAAAAAAUAACCCUCUGCACUUUGUAUGGAAUUGCAAAUACCCCUUGCAUGUCUAAUUGUUGUAAUGUCCACUUUGCAUUUUUCAUAUUAUUGCAAUGUAGCCCACCCUCCUUCCAAUUCAGGUUAGGGCUCGCCAGAGGUACCUACAUAGCAAGUAAUGUAAAGUAAUUGUCCGAGGUGGACUCUUUUUUCUCUCUGAGAAAACAGAAUCCCAUGUGGACCCACAUUAUACAAAAAUAUCACCAUACCACCUCUCUUCCUUUCACCACUUCCACCAACCUUAGAGAGAGUAAGCGAGAGAUAUAGCUUCCUCUUUCGACACCUUCAGCAAUGACGACGAGGAGGUAGUAAGGGGAUCCACCUGCCCUUCGACAAUGAUGGCUACCUCGGUUAUGACUCCCACCUCUCAUUGUAGUGCUUCGACGCCUACUCCUUCACUAUCGAUGAGGACUCCAAGGACCCAGCCAACAAUUCCCUCGCCAAAGCCUUCGACACAGGUGGGGCUUGAAGCGGCAGAGAUAACGAUCUCCCCAUCUACCAUGCCUCCGGUAAUGAUAGCUUUCCUCGCUCCCCAAAGUGCUUCGGCUACCGCCUCCUCGAUCCAAACCUGAACUUCGGCUCCUUGUCUUCCUCCUCGAUGCCGGAAUCCAACAUGAAGGCCUAUAACGUGGCAGAUCAUGGCAAGGUCUUUGCUACCAACAGCUUGAUCCUAUCGCCCCAAAUGAGAUGCAGUCGAAGGAGGGGUUUAUCCCACUGGAAAGGCGAUGGUGAGGCCUUUUUUCCAUGGUUCUGCUUUUUUGAUGCUCUCUUUCUUUGAUACUUUUGAAUCGUGUUGAUUUGUCUAGACAUAUAGUUCUUGGUUAUAUUUGUUUUGGUGAUUUGGUCCAAGAUUUGAGUUGAUAUUGCUUAGAUCUAUGGUUUUCUGUUCAUUAUUUUGUAGUAAGAAACCUAAGAAGUUGGUGAGUUGCCUUCUGAUGCUUUUGCAAUCCGAGGUUUUGGAGUUGAAACUCUUUCAAGUUUUUGACUUUUGCGUCUCUUGGAUUUAGGUUCAUGGCGGAGGAGGUGGAGGUGGCGGGUGUAGAGAUAGGCUCGACAGAGGAGGCAGUUCAUGGCAGCAAUCGGUGGUGAGAGUGAUGGAAGAGUUACUAGGGUCUGGCACUUGGACUCAACUGAGUCCAUGUCAGGUUCCUUCUUCUUGGAAAAGGGAACAAGUCCACUUCAAACAUACCACAUAGGCACCUCCAACGAGCCCUGAUCCCAACUGGAAGGAAGGUGGGCCACAUUGCAUCAAUAUGAAAAAUGAUGGAUUGACAUUACAGGGAGUAGACAUGCAGGGGGAUAUUUGUAAUUCUAUACAAAAUGCAGGGAGGUAUUUACAAUUCUAUAUAAAAUGCAAGGGGUUAUUCUUUUUUAGCCUAACUGUUAAGAUAAGUUGUUUACUUUACUACAAGUGCUGAGCACUAGGAUGGGAAAAGUUUUCCCCUUUUUCCCCGAUGGAAUGUAUUAUCAUGGUAUUGCCUCCAAAUUGGCUUCAAGUGCUAAGGAGUGUCCAAAUGUCCAAGUGCCUGCAUAUACAUGCACAUCCAGAUCUACUUGACAAGCUCUCUAGUGAGAGAUUCAAAAGGCCGGUACAUGGUUGAACAUAGACAAAAACUAAUAUGUCAAGAUGCCAUCAAACAAAAAGUAUAAAUCAGGCUGAAACUAUGACCCAGCAAGAUCAUGUGAUCAUUGCAUUUGAAAACAAAAAAAAAGGCUCCUCUGCCUAAGGUCAAAAUUAACAUCAGAUGGUGGAAACAAAAAGUAAAGUGUACAGGCUGUCAGUAUGGUGAGGCACUUGCCUCAAACAGAAAAUUCAUAAGCUUAUGAGUUUUCCUUGAUAAAAUAGAAAUAUUUAGAAAAUGAGAAAAUCAUGUAUAAAUAAAAGAUAAGGGAUUUAGCAUUGUAUAUGAAUCUCAUACUGCACCAAAUUUGUAAGCAUUUCUUAUUCCUAAGAUUCCAAAUAUUAAGCAAUUACAGUGUUGAUUGUUGAACCUCGUAUCAAUCCAACACGCUUCAAUAUAUAUGUGAAAGACAACAUAGCCUUUAAUAUAGAAGCUGGGAAUUUGGUCAUCUCCCAAGCAUGCCAAAAGAACAAGUAGAAUAUUCAUCCCUCCAUUCCACUGCUUGCAUUUAACCAUCAACAUGGUAUGUGUAUGUCUUCCACAAAAGCAUAUAAAAAGGUGCAAGGUAUGUACCAGAAAAUUAGGUACUUUAAAUGGUUCAUAUACUCACUUAGUAUGGAGCUCUCAGACAAGUCUCAUUGCGCUUCUUGAAUGCUUUGUAUUAGCCAUAAAAACAGUCAAAAUCAAAUGAAUAUGCAUUACAGAGAAGACAUAUAAGAUGCAAUGUUUUGCAUGUCACAUGGGCCUUUUUAUGUGGUUCAUAUAGCUGGCCUCACAUAGUCUCUCUCUCAUAUGAGCCAUCAUGGUCUUUUAAUUCAAGGUUUGAAAUAUCAAGACAAGCACAUAACAGUCACUCCAUAGUAUGAUAUGUACCAUGGUAUUAUACCAAUAUAGGGUACCAGCAGGAACCUUAUCACUAUGGGUAAUACGGGUCAGUGAGUGGUAAUGUGCCAAACUGUACACACCCAUACCAACUGGUACCAUAGGUUGGCUCAUUUUGAAACAUAAGAUGGGAUGAACCUUAUACAAGAUUUCUUAAGCUGAAAAAAACUUAACAAAGACCUAGUAAAUCUUUUCAAGAAGUUCAAACUGGAAAAAAAUUCUAGUAAUUCCUGACUUAGAACACAUGUCAAAGCACAUAAAUCCAAAGAAAAUGCUCGUGUUGGUUUCUUGUCACCAUGAUAGUAAGUUUGUAGGACCUAAAGAUAGCCAGAUAAUGAUGUUCCAUACUUGAGCCCAUUACCAUUAACAUCAUACAAAGGAAUAGAAGGAACAUGUCUUCUUUACAUUGAUUGUUGGAAUAAUUAAGCCUAAGAUCUGUAUCUUUUUCCAUAGAUGAGCAACAACAUAUAAGUGACAUGCCUCAUAUAAGUUGGUCCAUGGCAUUGUCUCUUAUAGCCCUCACACAAACCUUGAAACACUAUCGUUAGAAGCUCUUCCUGAGGAUAAGGCUACAGUCCUCAAAUAAGCUAAUUAAAACUAAAGUUUAUUUUAUGCAUGAGAUUCUCAUGAAUGCAAAAACAACUAAGGUCUUGGAUGUGUUAAAAACCAUAGGUACAAUAGCUGUUCCACUCACCAUCCCAGAUCCCAAAUAUCAACUUGAAUAGCCAUAAAGCCUUCUAUAAGUUUAAUUUAUACCCAGAACAAGAGUUUGUCCAAGCUAUAUUGUCACAUCAACAAUUUUCUUCCCCAACAAACUAUGCAGAGUUAAUCAUUUGACAUGCUUCAGAUUACAUCCAGGCAUUACGAUCGCAUCUCGUAUGUGUUCUUUCACAUAAAAAAAAAGACAAAUCCACAACUAAAGUAUAUUGCAAUCAAAAAAAAAAAAAUAGAUUGCUGAAUGUUUAAUAAAUUUUUGCAUCCUAAUAAUUAUCUUUUUACCAUAUGAUUUUCCAGACUGCUACGCCAUAACUAAAAAAAAAAAGGAACACAAGCUCAAAUGUGUUUUUCUAAUACAUUAUUUGCUUAUUAAAUUUAAGCUGUAGGGUGUUGUUGUAUGCAAAGUAAAACCAAAUAAGUCAGAAGUUCUAGUUCUUAACGACAGAUCCACUUAUGCAAUUCAAACAACUUUAUUUCUUACAGAUAAGAGCACUAGUAACAACAUUUAUAAUUUACUAGAAAUAUAAGAACGGAAACUGAAAGUACACUGAGAAUCAGUUCUAAAGUUCCCUAAUUUAUCUUAAUUAAAAACUUAUAAAGCGCAAAACAUACUAGAUCAAAAGCAAUCUUCAUGAUGGUAUGAUCCACAAUUUUAAAAUAAACGCGAGUUUUGUUUUUUAAAAAAAGAAAGAAAAAAAAAUGUCACCCACCCUUCUUCACGCGCACUAGUUUCCCCGAGUGCGACCGUCUCACAUGCCUCAGGCCAGGAGUAGCCUUCCCACCAGCCCCGCCCUUGUUGUGGUGUUCCGAAAACAAUAAAGAAGUCGGCGAUCUCGGCGACGAGGACAGCACCUCCGCAUUCUGAGCCGCUAUCUUCAGCACCUCCCUCUGCUCAUCCGUCAAGAAACCCUCCUUCUUCGGCGACGCCAUCUCCCACCUCCCCUACCCCACUUAACCUGUAAUCAAACCCCAGAUUACCACCAUAUCUUCGAUUAGCAUCCCAAACUCAUCUCAAAUCAAGACAUUUGAUCAAGAAACUAUUAGACAACAGUGGAAAGUAGAAAUGGAUGCUUCAAAGAAGCCAUACCUCUGGAAGCAGAAAGCAGCACGAGAAUGGAACUUGAACCGGAGAAAAACCCCAAAUCCGGAGGCUAAUCCACCAUUAAAAUCACCAACACCGCCCUUCCCCAAAACGAUCAAGUCUUGGCCCGGAGGAUCUCGAGACAAGACCGGCUGUGAGGGUGGGAAGGGGAGAGAAACCCUAGAAAGCAGAACACUAUUGAUCGAGCAAGCGAGCGAUCGCCUUUUUUCUCGAUAUCUCGAAGCCUCUCUUUUGCCGGCUUAGAUCUUUGCCUUCCUCCCUGGGGUCGAAUUGGAUUGAGAUGAGAGAAGCAAGAGAGAGGCUUUUAUAGGGAGGCGCUUUCGGUUUCGAGGAUACGUCGGGCGAGGGCUUGUCUUGUCGAGUACAUCCCUAUAUCCUGUUUACACGUGGCCGGUCCCGUUCUCGGCCGGCCUAGCGCGGAAAUUAGGGUUUCUUGGCACCGCCUCUCUGAGCUGCUGCCCUGAUGGCAUGUUUGAUCCUUCCAAGUAUGGCUGAAAAAUGAUAAUAAUUGGAUAACAAUUUUGGAGCAGUGGUUUACAUGGACUUUCGUUCGAAAAGGACAGAUUUAUCUUAUUCACAUGAAUCUACCAUUUCAUCGCGUAAUAGCUACUUCAAGAACUAUAUGGAUAAGUUCGAAAUGCUUUGAGAUCUAUGAUCGUCGUUGUGAAAGAAGAUCAAUUAUUCUUUUGUAUAAAAGUUGCGACAUGGAUCGUUUAGUCUAUGUAACAAUGCAACUUUCGUCAAGAUAAUCUAGGUGAAAAGAUUGCAAUCGAUCUGCAUCUCUAAUACAACUACCAACAAACUUUAUCUUUAGUAUAGAACCUUUUAUCAAGUGAUAUUUAGAUGAGGUAAUCAUCAUAAUUUGCAUUUGUUCUAAAUGAGAGUGCUCUAAUACAAGUUAACAACGCUAAUAUUUGAAAAGAGUUCAAUAGACUUGUGUUGCUUCUUGGUGUUAAAACAUGGUUAAAUGACUAUCAAUAAAAAGUACAUUCAUUCUCAAUCUCUCUACUAUCAAUAAAAAGUCUAAUUGCAUAGUUGCCUCCCACCUUAGCAUGCAGCCUACCCAUUCAUGCCAUUGAUUAUUUGGUCCCUCGAGUUAUUUUGUUAAAAAGAAAUUAUGGCGGUUAUAUUACUGCACAUAAUUAUUAUGUUUCUUUCUUAACAAAUAGUUAGCAACAUAUUUCAAAAUUACUUGUCAGCUAACUCGUUUGAUAACAAUACUUGUAGGCCUAUAAAUAGGUUGAAGGAUAACUCAUUGGUUAUUUUGAUUACUUUAUCAUAUUUAGCAAUGCUUACAAUCAACUUUUCAUUCUUAAAUUUCCGGCGAACAUCGGUCCAUAUGUAGUUAAUUUUAUAUUUCAUACUUUUGGACAACUCAUUAUCUUAGUAUUUGUAAUAGUUUUUGCUCAAAGGAAGUAUGCCAUAAGAUUUCUUGCAAAACCGCUCAAAACUAACUGUCCAAGAGAUAUUUCGGCGAAUAAGUAAUAAUUUUUAUAUUUUUUGAAUCAAAUAUUAGCAACAUCUCUCUUGUAACAAAAGCAAAGUGAAGCUUUCUAGGUAUUAUGGUUAAAAAAUAUCUAUUUUAUAAAUUUUGAGUAACAAACCCAAGCGUGUUUGUUGAAUGGACCAAAACAAAAGAAGAUUGUUGGCAAAAUAGGGUACAAAGUUUAUACGAUUUCCAACUAAUGAUGUGGAUGUUACAAAAUAAAUAUAUUGCCUUUAUUAUAUAUGACGUACAUAAUAGCUAUAAUUAUCAUGCGUAUAUAAUUAAUAUAUAUAUAUAUAUAAAAUAUCAUAUAGUAUUAGCUUAUUAUAUAGCAUAUGAAUAUUAUAUAUUAUAUAUAAGAUAUAUGAUAUGUAAUAUAUUAUUAUUAUUAUUGUUAUUAAAUAACAAGGGGCCUCAUUGAGUUGGGUUAAGGAUUAGUUUUGAGUUGUAAGCAAGUUGAUACAAUCUUACUAAUAGGUUUAACAUAUAUAUUGACCAUGUAGUCAUAUAAAACUUGUUGAAACAAACAAAGGAAUGGAAUGUGCCUCUUCCUUUCCAUUGCAUUCCUGCAUUACCCAAAUGACGAUAAGCAUUUGGUUCCUCGAUUUCUAUUCCUAUUCUACUUCGAUUUCAAUUCUAAUUCUUUUCCAUUCAUGUCAACAAAAUGUAGUGAAGUCUUCAUAUAAAUAUACUUUAUAUCAGUUUGAAUGGAGAGUGUGUAUGCAACUAAUGCAUUUAUUUGUUACAAAUUUUCUAGUUUGUACAUAUGGUUUAUGACUAACAUGACAAGGAAAGAUGUUAUAGCUUACCAAAGCCUAUCAGAUUGCAAUAUCACUUAAAUUGGUUUAAAUGAAUAGAAAUUUCUCCCAAAUCCUCUUCAUAUCACAACAUUGUUGAUGUAGCUCUACUAACAUCAGAUGUCAAAGAUAGCUGUAGACAACCAUCGAGAGCUUGCUCAAAUGGUAUCACCUUUUGCCUCUCGCACCAAAAUUAUGAGGUUUGAUUCUAGCACAAGUUAGUUCUGAAAUAGGUAUAAAGUAGAACAUGUUGCUUACUAGAUUGACAUCUUUGAAAAAUGCCUACUCUUGUCCUAUACCUCUCUCCAACGAAGAAACAAGCAAUGUUUAAACCAACACACCGCAAAUAGACAAUCCUAAAAGUUCAAGAUUCGUAGCCCCAAACUGCGCCACUCCUAAAUACAUUCAAGUAAUUAUUAAAUCUAAUCUUUAAGGUUGUUUUUUUAAGAGAUUACAGUUGUGACAUGUCAUAUUCUGCACCUAGGUACAUAAAAUAUACAUUCACACCAUAAAUUUUCCAUAUCAACUUUUGUUAUUCCUAAAAGCUUAGUAGGAAAUGUACAACAGAUGGAACAUGCAGCUAAACAGCCUGGAAUGAUCUCAGCACUCAGAUAUUUAACAAUUUUAAAAAAAAAUAGACAAGGGUACUCAAAGAUUCGGACCUUUGGGGAAUCCAAAAUGGCCGAUCCCCCAACGGCCCUUUGGGCGCCCCGGGCUGACGUAGGACCUCCCCUGUUUCCCAAUCAUAAAGCGACAUGCGUCACUCAUCCAGUCGCUCGCUCAGCUCCGCCUUUGACCAACAACAACCCGUCAAACCGCGAGCCCGCAACGGUUUUUCCUCUUCUGCCUCUCCUCCCCCCGCUCUCUCUGUCCCCUAUAGGAAACAAUACCCGCCCCCGGAAACCUCGCCCCCGGUUUUAUAGAACCGCCAAGGGCAAGAUUGGCAUUUAUUCUGAGUUCAAUCGGGAGAAAAACCGGUUGAGAUAGUCGUGGGGAAAAUUCGGGGUAAAGGUAGUGGGGGUGUUGGAUGUGGGUUUAGGGUUAAUUAUUUAUUAGGUUUUUUUUUGGGGGGGUUUUCGCUUACCGCUUCUUUCCCGUCCGAACGGCGGAGAUCCCGGGCCGUAUAAAACGGCCGAGCUUCCUUCGCUUCGUCCCCUUUUCCUUCUAUCUCUCUCGUGUCCAUGGAGGUGUGAAGGCGUUGGGGUGGUGGCUAGGGCUUUUAUUCUUUGGCGAAAUCGUGGGUGAAGGGAGGAGCAAAUGGCGGCAUUGGAGGGUCUGGAUACGUUCUUGGCGGCGGCGAGCAGAGCUUGUUGCAGUCCUUUUGCCAUCUUCAUCCAGAUCCAGGUACAUUGGUACUCCGAGGCCGCUCGAUCUCUUUCGUUUUCUUUUCUUCGUCCGCUUGGUUUAGGCUCCUGGAUCUCAGUAGUUGGUGUUGCUGCUUGGAUUUUUUUUGUUUUGCUCUGAUGGUAGCUUUAUGUUAUGUUUAAUUUUUUUUAUUGAUAGUAAUGUGGUUUGGAUGCAAAAACGACCUAGCUUUUUAUUUCCUCGUGUUUCUGGUUUUGGUUGGCUUAUAUUUUAGGAGUAUUGGAUUGAUCGGAUGUUGAUCUUUGUUUCUGACUCUUUGGUCCUGACCUAUGUUUGUUGUUUCUAAAAUAGAUUGGCCUAAAUCACCUUUUUGUUUUAAAAAAAAUCUGUUUGUUUAGUUCCGUUGUAAGAUUGUUCGCUUGCGAAAUUGUGUGAUCAAAUUCUUCUUUAUGCUCCGCUCCAUGUUACUGGUAUAUUGAGUUUCGGUAUUAAGGACUUUGUGUACCUAACAUCUCAUAGGUAUGAUCCAGUGGCGAUAGACCAAGGCAUGGUUGCACCUUUGGUAUGGCAUCAUGCCUUAGAGCCGCAGUUAUAUGGGGAACUCAAAAUAUAUGUAGCUAUGCUAGGAAAUGGUCCAUUCUAUGUAGAUCCAUUCCAUUGAUUAUAACUGGAUAUGCAUGGAUCUCAAAUUGAAUUCACUAAUUACAUUCUUGUCAAUGCAAAAGCAUUGGAUUGUUUAGGUAUGUAGCAUCAUUUUCUCUCUCUUUCUCGCUUAAAUGACUCAAUCAUCCAUAUUAAUUUGCAUCAAUAUUAUACCUUUUUGCUAUUGGUGGUCAUUAUAAAUUCUAUAUUUCUACACAUUCAAGACAAAAUACAAAUUAGUCGAAAAAUAUGAGAAUAGAUCAAGUCCCUAUAAGAUGAUGAAAGUAGCCUGAAGAUGCACAAGUAUCCAUUGUAUGAAAGUAUAAGAAAAUUCCACAAUAGGAGGUGAUAGAAAUUCAGAGCUCGUUCUGUUCUUUCUGAAAGGUAAUAUCUGUUAUAAUGAGGCUGUCCUUCCACAGAAAUGCUUCUUGAUAUUCUCUGCUUGCAAGCAGUUGCAAUACUUGAAGUGCCUUUCAUGUGAUUAGUGGCCAGUAUUUAGGUUAUAGUCUAAAUGUGCAUAGGAAAAUAUAGCUAUUUUCAUUUUCAGAGGCACUCUUCAUAAUUUGUGGAUUUAAAUGAGGCACUUUUAAGCAAAGCUAUUCUGAUUCAAAAGUUAAUUAUUUUGGAGAUUGACCAUGCUCCUGUUUAUGAUCUAUAUGUUCUCCUGAAUCUCCUCUAUUAAUGACUUGGUAAGGCUAAAAGAUUGCUUUCUUUUUUUUUUAUUAAAUACAUGCACUUUACAUUAUAAAGUUGUCUCGGCUGUGUUAUUCUCCAUGAGGCGGUAUUUGUCUCUGGCAAAACUUCGUGGCCUCCCGUUUCAACCAGAACUUUAUACUUAUGUAUGCAGUUUAUUUUUAACAAUCAAGAUUAUGUUAUCUUUAUUUGAUUUGGCAACUUACACAUGGUGAGUUUUAAAUGAUUAAAGAAUUCAUUUUCUUCUGCAUUCAUAGGGUUGUGCUAUCUGUUUAAUCCUUGCCAUCGGAUGGAGUUUUGCUGCCUAUGUCAGGUAUGCUGAUCCUUUAGGACAUGGUAAAAGUUAACUAUUAGCAUGUCCGCUAUAUUACAUUGCGAGACAUCUGACACUUGAUAGAAAUCAACCAAAGAUUCAAUAUAUUUCUUUUUGAUCUUUGUCAGGAGUAGAGUGAUACGGCACAUGAAGCACAACCUUGAAGGUGGAAAUAGUUUUGCAUUUAUGUGUGAUGAUAUCAAUGAACUUGAGCACUCUGCUCAGUUGAUCUUGCCUAGGGUGUCGGUUGUCAUGCCUUUGAAGGGCUUUGGAGAACACAAUUUGCAGAACUGGAGAAGUCAAGUGAGUUCUAAAUAAUUUUCCCAGAAGCUCUCUAGCUAGUAUCUGGGAACUUUUGCUUGUCGAUGGAAAAAAAGGAAAGGGAAAACACAUGCCAUUUGUUGCUUCUCCGAGUCCAUGCUCUUAGAUAAAUUUGAGAAAAAGUGUUCCACUCACGCUCGAAAAUUAGCAUGUCUGUGGUGCACAUACUCAUCUGCAUUCAUUGAGCCUCAUACUGUUUCAUAAAUGUCUUCAUACAGAUCACUUCUCUUUAUGGGGGCCCUUUGGAGUUUCUUUUUAUAGUUGAAAGCAUCGAUGAUCUGGCUUACCAUGCUGUAUCUAAGCUGAUUUCUGAAUUUAAGGUAUGGCACAACUCCUCCAACUAAGCCUUCUGCUCUUCAUACAAAUAAGAGCAGUUUAACACCACUGCUGUUUUAUUCAGUUGUCAACUAGCUUACCAUCUCUAUCUGCAAUCAUUGUUUUUUAAAAUCUCUAUGUGUUAUUCAUUUUUAAAGUUAAAACUUGGAUUUACUUAUCUUUCAAAAUUUAAGGGAUUUUGCAAGUGCAGAAGAACUUAGGCUUUUCCGAGUUUUUAAAAAAUUAUGACCCGAAAUUAUGAUUGGCAUGGGUAACAGGAGUGGCUUUUAAAACUUUUGUUCCGUAUUUAGUUUUGAUCUACUAAUACAUUUUCUUAUUUCUAUAAUCGGAGUCUGAUUGUGCUCUUCUUUGUUUAGUCCUACAAACAUACAUUACAUUACACUUCCCAUUAUAUAUAAUUGUCAACAUCUGCAUCGAAGUAUUAGCAUUAUGUUGCAUUGUUUUUUUUUAAACCUCAUUGAUGUUUCAUAUAAAUGACUUUCAAAUUAUAACGGUGUUUGGUUUUCUAUGUGUUUGAUCCUUUAUCUUGUUGCAUGUCCUGACAAUAUAACUCUUGAUCAUUUUCAGGACAGUGUUGAUGCAAAGAUUAUUGUAGCUGGGUUGUCAACAACAUGCAGUCAGAAAAUUCAUAAUCAGUUAGUAUGUAAAGUGUUUAUACCUUCUCUUAUUUGUAAAAAUAUUUGCCAAAUACUGCUUAAACAAGAUAUUGUUUUAUGUUAUACCUUUUUACUUUAAUUAACUUUCAAAGUUGCCAAGACUUCUCUUAAGGAUUUUGAUGGUGAAGUUUCAUUGGAGACUUAGAAUUUUGAUAAGUGUAUAUUUUGUAUAGGUACAUAUCAAAAUCUUUAGAUGAAAGAUUGGAGAAGAUAGAAGAAAUUAUUGAUGGGGAAUUUGUAAGGCAAAAGUUUCCUAUCAAGAUUGCGGCUAAUGUUACGAUAUGUCUUAAAUAUCAAUAAACAAAAGCUUAUAUGUUAUUCAACAUUGUAUAAAUUUUUUGAUUAUACGAAAUAAAAUGUUAUGCCCUGAGACUUGAACUUAUUUGAAUCCCAAGAUGUGAAUCAACUAUGGGUGCAAAAGUAAUGUUAAGAUUGCACGAACCAUAGGAUCCAAUUGAGCAGAACUAAAACUGUAUUACAAACCAUAAAUCUUAGAUGAAAUCCAACUUGAAAGAUUGAAUGUAACCUGUUAUACACAAUACAAUACCUUCGAAGAUAAAAACAAACCAAAGUCCCCUUUCAUUGAAAAGGUGUCACCACAGCUAUAGCUAGUCAUUUUGAAAAUAUUUUGUAAUAGUUGGAAUAACAACACAGCUCAAUUUGUAAUUUAUCAUGUUCAAUGGAGUUUAACUUCCACUAGAAAGAAAAUACAAACAUAACAUAUAAAUCCCUGUCAUACAGAAAUUGUUAUUGAAAAGUUAAGCCAAUGUUCAGAGUGAUUGUAAAAUGAAAUAGCAAAAUUGUAGAAUAGAGAUAUUGUGAUGAUCAAGGCGCAACUUCAUAAAGAGUUCAAAUGAUUGACAUGAGAAAACAUUUUCUAAUAAAGUUCCAUAUAUUUCCUCGAUGCUACAUGCAUCUUCAGUGCUAAUGCAAAUGGGUGCACAUGUCCUUACCGAUAACUCAGAUGAGGCAGCAUAACCUAAGAGCUGAGCAGUUGGUAAUUUAACUUUUUCUUCAGAAAUCAAGCUGCCCAAUAUCUAUUUACCUAUUUAAACACCACAUUUUCCCUUUCUAUUUUAGGUUGUCUUGAUUCUUUUAUUUUACUAAUAUUUACCUAUCAUCUUGAAAUAUAAUGUCCAAUAUAUAAGAAGCUUGAUUUCUGCAGGUUUUUGUGGAAAGAACUGCAGUUAUUUGAAAUUUGAAUUGUUGUAUGUUGUAUGUUUUGGGUUAAGAGUAGGGGAUAGAAAAACAAUUUGAAUUUAGGAUUUCUGCAGAGUGUUAUGUGGGUGCACAGGAUUUCUUUAAUUUAUUUUAACAGAACUAUUUUGGAUGAAUUGAUCUUUCAGUAGAAAAUAAAGAGAAUACAAGAUAAAGGGGUGGGUAACAGUUUAGCUAGGCUAAAGUAUGAUGGAAAAGUUCUUGUUUUCCUAAAGGAGGAGGAUAAAAUUUUAGGGUAAACAACUCGAGAGAGAGAUUAAUAUGCAGCCUUGUGCAACCAAAAUACCUAAACAUUACACCUUGGAUCGAAGGAGACACAAUCGCAAAGCAUGGAGUUUCACCACAGAAUGAGAAAACUACUUGGCUUUAUAUAUAACUGCUUGGAUUUAUAUAUGUAAACUGAAAUUUAUAUAGGACUUUUUAUCGCAUUCCAAACGCACAAAUGCAAAAAAUGGAAAGCACAUCUGUUUGUAUAGGGCUCAAGGAGGGGAUUCAAUGUAUGAGUUAAGGUUUAUUAGCUUUUUGUUGAAGAAUCUCACCUUCACUAGAAAGGAACAAAAUAAUGAAAGAAAGAAUUUACAUAAUAUACAUCCCCAUGAAAUUCCUGUGUAUAAAGAUAUUAGUUCUAACCAAAUCAGGAGCUUAAAACUGACUAUAAAAAUAGUCCCAAAAUACAAACAUACUAAAGGACAUUAAAAUAAGGAUAUCUAAACUCUAAAAUACUCUUGGUACAUGUUGACCUAAAAUUGGAAGAACUCAAUAAGUUGAAGGAGUGCUCCUACAUCACUAAGGAGUAAUUUGUAGUGCAUCAGGAGAUGAUGCUAAGAGCUACACUUAUGAACCAUACCAUGACAAUCCUUUGAAAUGAUAUUUUCUAAGAGCUGUUUCUUUGCUACUUAUCAUCAUAUGGAAGCUAGUCUCGUAAUAAAUUUUUUGCAAAUGAUAGUUGCAACUACUGUUUUGACUAUUGUAUUUUGAAUGCUUUAAGUUGUCUGUUCAUGCUUUUAAUUGUGUCAUACUAUCUCUAAUUCCAAAUGUGCCAACUAUUCUCCCAUCAGUUGAGUUUCUUUGUUCCAUCUAAAUAGUGUAGCAAAGCAUAGUGAUGCAAAAUAUAUGCUGUCACAUUAAUACAGGUUGGUGUUGAAAGGAUGCAUAAAGAAAGCAAGUAUGUUUUGUUUCUGGAUGAUGAUGUUAGGCUGCAUCCAGGGUCAAUUGGGGCCCUUACAAAAGAAAUGGAGAAGAACCCUGACGUACUUAUUUCUCUUGUUCCUUACUUCUGUUCUUAAUUUAUUAUUUACAUUAUUGUAAUUUGGAUCCUUCAAUGGCACCAUGUAGAUAUUUGCUUUCUUCGUUUCAUGGUACAGAUAUUUAUUCAAACUGGAUAUCCUCUUGAUUUGCCUUCUGGAAGCUUGGGGAGUUAUUGCAUAUAUGAAUAUCAUAUGGUAUGAUGCUUUUAAAAUGGCAAUUUUGGUUCUUACAUCUUGUUAGGUACCUUGCUUCUGGAAUCCUAAUUUAGAAAUGUGGUGUCUACCAUCUAUUUUUUUGUCCCACCAUAGUUUAGAACAUUGUUUUUUCUUAUUGUUUCACCUUGUGAUUACACUGAUGCAUAGUAUAACUUCAGCCUUGUUCAAUGGGUUUUGCAACUGGUGGAAAGACUUUCUUUUUGUGGGGAGGCUGCAUGAUGGUAAUAUUUUCAUCUUAGCUUUCUAUUACUCCUGUAUGGAAAUGUGAACCAAUUUUCAGCUCUUGUAAUUCUUAUCUUGUUUUAUCUUUUAGAUGCAUGCCAAAGAUUUUAGAAAGGACUCGUAUGGUGUUGUUAGUGGACUUCGAGAUGGGGGAUACUCAGAUGAUAUGACCUUAGCCGCAAUAGCUGGUAAUAGUUGGGUCUCUUUAUGCACAGAAUCUAAAGUUUACCCCUUCACAUUUUUUUCAGUACUUAAACGUUCAUAUGCACCCUUAGCAAAUUUUUGGUUUCACUGCUGAUUUUCUUGUUCGAAAGGGUGAAGUAGAUAUCUGUUAGCCGAGUCAAUGUCUAGUGUGGACUAGUAAUUCCAUAAUAAUGCUCAUCUCAGUCCAGUUAAUUCAGAAGAACGAGAAAUUCAACAUUUUCUUUUGCUUAUCCAAUUAUGAAUGUACAAGAUGAAUUGCUGACCUUGAAAGAUUGAGUAGUGCAUCCAUGUUCCUGCAAAAUUCUAAAAUUUGCAUGUAUACCCUUUCUUAUUUUGCUUUCAUUUCUCUCCUAAUGUGAAUUUGGCUAGGUUAAUAGCUAAGCCUGUCAGUUAAGUUUUUUUUCCUCAAUUAUGUACAACUUGUUGAAACUUCAAGGCAAAUAUCUGAAAUUUUGUGCAUACAUGUACUUUUCAUUUUUCAUGUGUGAAUUAAGUAAUUGAGCACUUCUUUGAGAUUAUAUAUGCCAAAGUCCUUUAAGGGAUGUAAUGGUUAAAAUAAUAUGGUUAUCAUUUGGACAUAUAUGCAAAUUUUAAAUUUUGGAGGGCCAUAUAUUCAAGUUUCAUGUUUUUAGGAAAAUAUAUGUGAACUUUCACCCUUUAGGGGGACAUAAGCAAUUAUGCACUUCUGAAAGGUAUACAUGCAAAAAAACCCCCAAAAAUAAUUCUAGGUUCUUGAUGUAAUAUUAAAAUUAUGAGUUGAAAUACAACCACAAAUAAAAUAAGAAUGGUCUGAAAUCUUGGUUUCAAUUCUAUUUUCUGUUGGGCCCAUCAAGUAUCUGCUAUCAACUUCGACAGGUUUGGUUCAAGUUUUGGAGCUUAGCCAGCUAACUUAGAAAAGAAAAAGAAAAAGAAUCAUGAACAUACAAGGCAAAUGUAAAAUUAGUCAAGAAGUAUAUAUCACACAACUUUGCACUGUAUUUGUUUAGUUUGGAAUCUUUGGAUUGAUAGUUUUGGUGCUCUAGGAUUUUAUACUAAAACUAUAAACAAUUAUAAAAAAUUUAGAAACCAUUGAGAAUGUUAAGGAAUCAUAUUAUGAUGAAUUUGAAAUAUAACAUAUCAUCCGGCUUUUGAUAAUAAUCCAAUUGUUUAAUACCUAAAACGAUCGCCUAUGCGUGUACAAACACAAGCAUAGGAUGCCAAGGAUUUGCACGCCUAUGUUUUAUACAUAGCUGGUUCGAAGCUCAGAUAAAGGAGGGUUAAGGUAGGUUGACGGCCGGUGUAAAGCCAUAAACUAUAACCAGAAGAAAGUAGUAGAUUUUAUACAUGUAGAAGGAAAGAGGGAUGAAGUAGUGAGGAAGAACUUUUUAUCUCAUCAUCUCUUAAAAAGCAUGGAGCUAAACCGAGUGGAAUGGGGAAAAGGAUUCAUGUAAGCGAGCCCAACUAGUUUAGGAUUAAGGCUCAGUUGAGUUGUAUUAUGUACCAAGUACCAACAUAUAAAGAUUUGUCUACGGAUGCUAAUUGCCUGACCAAGCAGGUUGAUCUCCUCAUACUUGUUAGUUGAUCUUCUAAGAUUCAUGACAAACCCUUCUACUAAAGAUGGCUUGGAAUUUGACCAAAAAUUAGAUGCUUGCAAUUAGGCUUGAGAGCUAGUCUCUCAAAGUUUAAGAAGCACUCUUUGGUUAUUAAAUCCAAAUCUGUAUUAGAUGGGAUAAAGCUUAUUAUUGGUACGGUUAAGGUUAUUCACUGAUGGUAAGUGGUAAAAGAAUCAAGUUAUAAUCAAUAAAAUACAUAUUUAUGGAUUUCAUUUGCAUCCAUGUCUUUUCAAUGAACUUAGAUUUAUGCCGUUAUGUAAAGCAUUUAUCUAUUUAUGUAGAAGUUUUGGGUUGUCACUCCGAAAGAACAGAAGGUUCUGGGAAGAAGUAUAAACCAUGGAGUUUAACACUAUAAGCUCUAUUCAAAAGAAAAAAAAUCCCUACUAUAAGCAGAUGAAUUUUGCAUCAGGGUUUGGUAGUAUGCCAUUGCUAAAAUUACAUCAAGGUGGAAUCAGAAGAUCUGCAUAUAAAAUAUGCCUUCUUUAGGAUUAAUAUUAAUCCUCCCAAGAAUGAGAUCUUGUGUAACAAACAGACAUUCUAAGAAUUAAUUUGUUCCGUCUGAAAACCAUAUUGGAACUUAUGCUAAUUUUAUACCUUUUUCUUCUUACUUUCAGAUGUUGACCAAUAAUUUUGCCCAAAACUUAACCAUGCUGUUUGGUCAAGGAUAUAAUUAAUGUAAAUAUGGAGAGGGGUUGCAAAUAAUCCUGAAUUUUCUGAACUAAUUUAACCCAUUUAUUUGCAGGGCAACAUAAGAGGCUUAUUAGUUCACCUCCAGUUGCUGUCUUUCCCCAUCCCCUUGCAAGUGAUCUUAGCUUUCCAAGGCGUGUAAUUUUUUCUCUCAAAAUUUCCCAUAACAAAUAUGCUAUUAUCUUAUAAUAAUUUAUCAUUCUUUUGCAGAUACUGGAAUUAUCUAAGGAAACAAACAUUUGUUCUGGAAUCCUACAUAUCUAAGGUUAACUGGCUGAUGAACCGUGCACUGUUUUCUUCACACUGCUAUUUAUCCUGGGCUUUUGUUUUUCCAUACUUUAUGGCAAUGAUACAUCUUGCAACAGCUUUAAGAGCACCAUAUAGUGAUUCUCUUUUGAAGGAAACAUCAUCCUCAUCUUGUGGUGAGCAUGCUACUUACUCUUUUUNNNNNNNNNNNNNNNNNNNNNNNNNNNNNNNNNNNNNNNNNNNNNNNNNNNNNNNNNNNNNNNNNNNNNNNNNNNNNNNNNNNNNNNNNNNNNNNNNNNNNNCAUCUGUUUCAUACUUCACAUGGGAUGGAAUGUUAGCUGAAAAUAGGUAAUUUCAAGAAUAAGCAGAAAUUAUCAAAUUGAUCAUUGGAAGUUUGACAUUGUGAUGUUUUUGAAAGGAUUAGAUGUUUAUUAUUUAAUUGUUUCUUGUUCAUCUCCUCCAGCUCCUUUAGAGGAUAAUCCCACUUCUAACUCAUAUUGAUCAAAUAAAUUGAUAGAGGCAGAUUAUAAUAGUUGCCUGUAACAUUCAUUCUCCAAAAAAAAGUGAUAACGCUCUUUUAAUUUUCUGGCCUUGAUUCAGUAAAGUUAAUCAGUUCUUACAGGAUGUUAAUUGCUUCAUUCAGGUCUUACACUGGCUGGCUGCUUGUUUAUAUGCACUAUUCUCGAACUUGCUUCAAUGUGGAACUUGACAAAAGUGGAGAUCUAUUUGUGCAACUUGUUAUCUCCAGAGGGGCCAAGGGUCUCACUUGGUUCAUAUAACUGGGGACUUGUAAGCAUCUCCUGUGCUUCUUGAGUUGUUGGGAACGGAUAAUAUUUCUCUUCAUUUUAAGUGCAGCAUAGAGAUAAUUAGAUUUAUGGAAACCAGUAUAUUUUGCUCACCUUAAUUUAUUGGAAUUUGCCUGUAUGUAUCUAAUUCAUGUUGACUUGAAUAUUUUGUGAGCAGGUAUUUAUUGCUAUGCUGGUAGACAACUUUUUAUACCCCAUCUCAGCAAUGAGAUCACAUCUUACACAGUCGAUAGACUGGUCUGGUAUUCGGUACCACUUGAAAAAUGGAAAGAUAAGCAAGGUAUGCGAUUCAAUUUCACCAAGGUUUUGCUUUUGGAUAUGAAUCCCAGCUAGAAAAUCUGUUAAUAGUUUUACCAUCAUCUAUUGUCAUAUGUUCUGCAACUUGACAUAUCUGACUUCAUGACGUUGACAUGGGUCAUUCGGAGGAAAAAAUACUUUAAAUUAUGUAAAAAUAGGACCACUUUCACCUAAUAUUACGUAGAAUUUUGUGUUAUUAAAAACUAAAUUUUGGAAAGAACUAGUUGAAGCUGUCAUGAACCAAUUUUUUGCUAGCUGAAUAGCUACACUAAUUCACACUACUUUCUUAUGGCUCCUUCGGCUAUCAACAAAAUUGUGACAGAAAAGAUGUUUGUAUCCUUCUCAAAAUCUGUCCAUCUUGUCUUUUAUUCUCAAGAGAUAAUUUUCAAGAUUGUAUUGACUAUAGGUUAGUAGCCAAAAUAUAAAAUUGUAAUGACUGGUUUUAUUGAAAAACAUGUAAAAGUUUCCACUCACUAAGGCUCUGUGCCACGAAAUCAACAUUUAAUGCUAUCCCUCUUGGCAGAUAUGCAAGAUCAGUCUGUACGACUUAAGGGAUACUUAUAUCCCUUGUUCAUCAGGACAUGGGGAUGUCAAAAUAAUUGUAGUUUGACAUAGUAUAAUGGGGAUAAUUGCUCAACUAAUGGCAGACUUUUUGGCUGGAGAAGGAAAAUUGAGAAGAUGAUAGAGCAAGGUAGUGAUUUAAAAAGUUUGACUAACUAUUAGUGGCUGUUGAGAGAUACUUCCACAUAAUAUUCCAUGCUUUUGAUGGAAUAAGAAUGAUAAUAUUUUCAGCUUUGUUGCUUCCUACAGAGCAUAUGGUCAUUUCAAUAACACUAGCGGCCAUGUGUUCAGGAUGUUACAGAUCGAUAAUUAUAGGCAAACCAGCUAUACAAAGGAGGACGUUCUGAUUAUAUUUAUAUUAUAAUGAAUGAUAUGGUAGGAGCUUCUAAAUAUCUAGCUAAUUUUUACAUUGCAAAAAGAGUUGGUGCGAUAUUUUUUAUAGCCCAUUUGCUUCGAAUUGUUUUGCAAUAUCCUUGAUAUCCUCUACAACAUAAUAAUGUUUAUUCUCUACUCAUAUGCAAAAGAAUAGAAGAACAUAGCAACAAGGAGACUGCAAAUGUGUAAGAUAACCGGAUAUGAAAAUGUUGAGAUAGAUGUGGGAGUGGGACAAAUAAAGAUAGUUAAAUACUAUUUUGGCAAUGGUUAAGGAGAAAGGGAUGUUGAAAUUUAAAGAUUUAUUACCCUGCUAACGGAUAAAAACUAAUAAGAAAUUAUAAUAAAUCUAUGGGGAAGGAAACAACAAUAUACAACAAAAAGUGAGAAUCCUAUUUUAGCUCCUCUGAUGGAAGAACCAUUUGAUUAUUUCGGUAACUUUGGUUUAUAGAAGAAAUGGUUUUAUUUACAAUUCCUAGUCAUUGAUGCAAAGAAGCAGAUUCUAUGACAUGAGGAAUUUACACUCGAGGAAACUAAUAAGUACUUGAGCCAGCAAAGGUGUUAGAAGAAGACUGAGAGAUACUUGAAGAAAGAUAAUGUUCAACAUUGCUUAAUAUUUAGUUUAAUCUCCCUUUAAGAACUUGAGUCUAUUUAGGUGUAAUACAUGCAGGAGUGGGUUCAUGAAUUCGUUGUUGAAGUCCUGUAGUAUUUCAGUUUCUUCACCGUACAAUCAGAAUAGUGGGAUUGUGUGCUUUGGGACUUGAUUAUUUCAUAGAUCCAAUUGUGCAAUUGAAAAUUCAAAACCUAACGAAAUCUAGGACCGGUGGCACUUAAAGCAACAUGGGUAAUCAAAAGUAUUAUCAUUGUGCAAACAGAUAUGCCAUGUAAAUUUCUUAUCAAAUAUAUGCCAUCUUUGUUCACAAAUGUUGGUAGUCUCCUAGUUAAGAUAGACACAACUUCAUUUCAUGUAUUGUUGUGUAAUGUCUUGUAUCCACAGAUAUUCACCAAAGAAGCAUUUGUAAUUUAGGACGCAUGAUAUUUAUUGUAUACCGGUGAAAGAAUAAAAAAUGGUAAAAACAAAGAAGAAUAUUAACUAUCACAUAAAUGUAUUGCUAUCUUAGAAUGCAAAUCAAGAAAACUAAUGAGAUAUUAACAAAAAAUGUCUUUGUUCUUUUAGCAUCAAACUAAUAACAUUAAUUCUCUGUUUCCUUACUGGCUGCCUGAAUGACAGAUGCCUCUAUUUCAGCCUUAAAAUUCUGCCAAAAAUCUGCAUUUGUGCAGAUAAUUUUUGCAAAUCUUUCUUCAUUUUCCUCAUUGCCUUCAGCUACUAAUAGAUUUGUUGGGUUAUUAUUUUUGUUCUUAUGUUGAUUACUCUACAGAUUGAAAGGUCCAAGGAAUAUGGCUCAAAUUUAACUGACCUUGGAGGAAAGUAUCUGUAUGGGAAAAGGUUAUGCCCUCCUAAAGCUUCAUUUCUUAGCUCUUUGUCAAGAAGUCUGGCACAGUGGUGCCAACCAAAGAAGUACGAUAGCUAGAAGCCUUGGCAUGCAGCAGAAAAUCAAGAAGAGAGUGCCCAUUCUUCAUUUUUCUUCCAGCAUUACAUUGUUUUUUUCUUUCUUCAUCCUUUUAGUUUCUAGGAAUCCCAUUCAAUCCAUUGAUUCUUAGUGUUCAGCUGCGUUUGCUGCAUAGAGUUCGUACUGGUAAUCUCCUGUUACAUGACAGAUGUAUACAAGCAAAUUCAUUCAAGACAAUAAGAUGCUCCAUCUUUGGCUCUUUUCUCUUUGUUAUUUAAUCUCCGCCGGUAAAUUAAGUCUUCCAACUGCACUAGCCAGCCAACAGAAACAGCUGAGUUGCUCUCUCUCUCUCUCUCUCUCUCUCUCUCUACUAUAUAUAUAUAUAUAUAUAUANNNNNNNNNNNNNNNNNNNNGUGUCUCUCUCUCUCUCUCUCUCUCUCUCUCUCUAUAUAUAUAUAUAUAUAUAUAUAUGGUGAAGCAGAUGGUUUACAUCUUAUACAUGAGGACUAUAAACACAUCCAGUGGCAUCAGAAUAUAUUCUAUCUCUAAGCUCUUGAGGGUAGUCUGUAGUGGUGGUCCAUAAACAAGAGGAAUGGUGAGCCAGAUAAGAAGCCACUCAAUCAGCAGGCCUAUUCUCCUCUCUGUAGAUGUGAGAUGCUCUAAAUUCAGUCAGUCCUUGGAUCAUGCACCGCACAUCUAGAAGUAGUCGAUGUACUUUUGCUUAGUCUAUAUCACUGUCUUAAUUUGUCUGCCUAUCUCCUUUGCUAUAUAAUGUUGCCGAGCUCUAGAUCAGAUCGUCCCAACUUGUAUGCCUCUUCAAAGCCUUGGAUGGUCUUAGUCCAACGAAUCAAAGCUUAGCCCAAACCUUAACAGAAAAGCUUCAACCCCUUCAUGUUUGCAGGUUCUGCUUCUGAAUGUUGUCUAGGUGCUUAAUUUUCUAAACCACUGCAGGAUUGGCACUGUUGGAGGCAUGUCCCAGGACGUUUACAUGGGUUGGUGCUUAGAUUGUUAGCUUUAAAUACCUGGAAGACUGUCCUACCUUUGAGUGGCUGGGCUUAGGAUUUUCUUCUGGGACUAACCUAUCUACACCCUUCAGAAUUCGAAAAAUGUGUCAUGUAUGCGUAGGGACUGAUCAAACUGUGUUAAGGUUUUUGAGGCUUUCACCACGAACUAGUUCUCCAAAUAGAUCCCUAGGACUUAGAAGGCCGAUUAGGUUAAAUAUUUCUGGUUCUGGUUAUGCAAGUCCUUGUUGCCAACAAAAAGGCUGAAGUAUCCUGAAGGGAAAGGGAUUACCACUUCAUAUUGAUGAAAUAAGAAGCUAAAAUGCAGCCGUCGACAUUUGGCUUCCAUCCCCUGCUGUUUAGAGACCAAACCUGGAAUAAUUCAGUUCAGGGCGUUAUUCCUGUUAUAUGUGCCCUUAUUACAAGAUAAUGGCUAAAAAAUGGGCAUUAUUUGAAAGCCUUGUAUAUAUAUAUAUAUAUAUAUAUGUAUGUAUGUUGCCACUGGGAAUUAGCUCAACCAAGAUGCCGAGCUGACUAGAUUGUUGGAGUGCUCGGCUUGUCUACCAUCCAAGUCGGAAAGGUCGACUAAGGGUCGAAGUGCACCUCUACGAUAGCGGUCCGAUGGCUAUCACGCUCGGGUGGGAAUUGCUUUGGCAUUGCAUAUCUCCAAGGUGGCGAUGGAUAACGGAGGCCUUAUUCUGACUGUUGCUCUUAUGCUGGAUUCAAUCUGAAAUAACAAAGAUAAGAAAAUCCUUCCAUUAGAGCGUGUUUGGUGGGAGAUUUUCUGAUGCCUAAGUCAAACAUGACUCUCAAACAAUAGAGAGAGGCCCGAGAGAGCAAUAGAGUGGUAGCCUAGAGGAGUCAAAAGAGAACUUACUUGGAUAGCCUUUGAGAAUGCAAUAUAUAUAAGCGAGGAUUGAAGCCCGUUGUCGAGCAAUUCGGGUGCAUAUGCUGAUUGUUAUGGCUGCAGCUCACAUUUUUUGCCCAUGAAUUAUGCCCGUGCUUCCCAGCCUUGCAGAUAGUUCACGAUCAUAACCGAGCUGUCACCAAUUAGGGAAGGAGAGUUUGAGAUGCGAAGAACUCUCCGCGCACAUUCUUGGUUGGCCACAUGGUUAGCCUGUGGGGCGAGCCAUUAUUGGUUGGUUUGCCAUAUCAACUGUAAUCAGUUCCAAAAUGUAUUCACACAUAAUAUAACAGAAGUCCUCCAAAACUCUUACAAUGCGUAACAGCCAUUUCUUUAAAAACUUGGGCGAAUGUAGAGGGAGCUAAACAGAGAGUGCAGUAAACAUACAAGGCCACGAUAGGAAGGUCUAACGAGAAACUAAAGAUGCGGAAAUGUUGAAAAGAAUCCGAUGUCUUGUGCUUGCUUAGUUUCCUCUGCCUUCGUAGAACUGAACAGACCUGCAACACGAGCAAUUUGAGAUCGUGCAUUAAUUUACACUCUCAAUAUGCUUGCAACUUAAAGACAGUGCAAGAACAUGGCUGAACCAACCUUACUCGAGACUGGUUUCUGUCACCUAGUUACUAGGACUUGUGGAUCAAGAGAAAUGAAGCCAUGUUCAAGAACAUAAACACCAAGGCUUUCAAGACGAUGUCUAAAAUGGUGCUCCUUACCUUGUUUGAUUUAACAAUAUAGGUAUCCGUUAGCAAUCAGCACAGAUAAUUCCCACAACAUCGCUUCAUUUUUGAGAGCUUGAGAGAUAAUGCAGCAAAUAGGCCUCAGUUGUAUGUAUUUUAGAGAUAUCUUAAGGCAGCAAUAAUAGUAGCUUGUUUUCUUGCUGAUGAUGUGUCCGAGGACGGUCUUCGUUCGUUGACGACUCAUAUUUAAUGCCAAUGUUGCUCGAGGAAACAUCAACCUUAAAGCUGAGAACAAAGCAUAUUCCUGAAUAGUAAAAGACCAAUAUUGAAGAAAAGGUCAACCAGGAGGUCAAAUGCAGAACCCAAGACCUUACAACAUUUGUGAUUUUGAUACCAAGGAGCCCUGCUUAUAUCAGUCACCAAAUAGAAUCCCCCUCAAAUAAAGGGCAAGAAAAAGCAAGCCGCAACGGCUGUGGUGGCAUACCAAGAAAUAAUACUACCAUCAAGAAAGAAAGAAAGCAAAGUAGGAAAACAGCACAAAGAACAUUAUAAGCAUCCAUCAAGCAAACCGUCCAAUGUCAAAUUCUAAUCAGAAGAAACCAAUUAAGUCAGAAAAGACAAUAACAAAACCAAUAUGAGGACCAUUGAGGUAUGACAAACCCCUGAGACAGUACACUGAAGGCAGCAAAUGGCUUCAGAACUUAUUAAAAACAUCUAAAGCAUCAGAGGGGAAAGAUAACCCGAGUCCCAGGAAAAUAUAGUCUCAUCUCCCUCUCAAAACUCGUCAACAAAAAAACGAUAGGUCGUUCCAGUAAAAGAGCAAGCUUAAUACUUGUAGUCCUUCACAUGGAGACUCUCAGAGACAACUGCGCCGCCAGCAGCAUCUCCCUUGUAUUUCCCGAGUGUUGCCUCUGAGUUCGCCUUGCACCUUGACAGAAAAGCAGCCCUCGCCUUCUCAACAUUCUGCUCCUUCCCAGCCCAAGCCUUGAGCGUGCUUUGCUGCAGAGCACGGCCAAAUGAGAAUGAAAGCGACCAAGGCUUCUUCCCCUCCAGCUUGUUCAUGGCAUUCAGGUUCAAGGUCGCUUCCUCCUCGCUCUGGCCGCCUGAGAGGAAGACAAUAGCAGGCACAGCAGCUGGGACUGUCCUUUGGAGAGCCCGCACAGUGUGCUCAGCCACCACCUCAGGUGCCACCUUUGCUGAAUCUGAUCCUGGGGUUACCAUGUUUGGCUUCAGGAGAGUCCCUUCCAGGAGAACAUGGUGGUCGUUAAGUGCCUUGUAGCAAGCAGCAAGCACCCUCUCCGUGACAUCGGCACAACGGUUGAUGUCGUGUGGCCCAUCAACAAGGAUCUCAGGCUCUACAAUUGGUACCAGACCGUUCUCCUGGCAGAUAAUAGCAUAGCGGGCCAACCCAUCAGCAUUUAGAUCAAUUGCUAGCUGAGAUGGCUCAGUUGGACCAAUCUUGAGGACGGCACGCCACUUGGCAAAGCGCGCCCCUGCCUCAUAGUACUUCUGGCAGCGCUUGCCGAGGUCAUCAUGGCCCUGGGUGGUGGUUUCACCAUUAGUGCCAGCAAGUUCGAUGGUGCCCUUGUCCACCUUGAUACCAGGAAGGACUCCACCCUCAUUCAAGACUUCGACAAAAGGCUUCCCAUCUUUAGUCUUCUGGUAUAGGGUCUCCUCAAAGAGGAUGACCCCACUAAGGUAUUGGAGAGCACCGGGGGCACAGAAGAGGAGCUCGCGGAGGGCCUGGCGGUUCGCCUCGACAUUCUCAACAUUGAUGCUGGCUAGGCGCUUGCCAAUCGUGCCAGUGGACUCAUCGGCUGCAAGGAUCCCCUUGCCCGGGGUGCCGAUGUAGGCAGCAUUCUUAAUGAGCUCAUCUGCAAAAAGAUGGAAGUCAGAAGUCUAUCCCUAGUACCAACGAAAUUCUAGGCUCAUAACAUACAACAGUAUGCUGACAGAAACGUAUGAUGAAGUAAAUCUCAAAUCGAGCAUAGAGCAUUUAGAAAAAUUUAGGAAGCAGAUGAGAAAGAUUGCUGUAACAACAUGCAAGAUUAAAGAAUAAAAUACAGAAUGUGGCGGACAACAAUAAAAAUCUUAAAACCAGCCAAGCAUUCCAAAAGAGUGAGUCAUUCUAACAUAUGAUAUACCUGUCCCCCAUCCAUAAUUAGAUGACGAGUUAAAUCCAAGGCCAUUGCACAAUAAUAAUGAAAGGCCAAGCAACCAAAGAGAUGGCUUAUAGACUCUCUCUUAAGGUUUUCCAUAUAUUCAAAUUUAAAAGAAAUCCAGACACUAUAAACUUGAUCUCAUCCUACACACUCAAAUAUUAUGGAAAAUAUCAAGGCAGGCACGUCAUAUGGCCCUCCCUAGGCAGAUAUCCUCUAAAAUAAUGCCUACGCAUAAAGAAAGCUUGUUACAAGGGACAUGCCAAUCUUAUAGAGUCUACACUCUCAUGAACUGAAAGAUGUGUUUUCUUCAUCUAUGGUCACACAAAUCAAAUCUGCUUAGGCAGCGUUAACAACAGAUAAGCUGCCCAGCUGCCCAUAAGGAGGGAUGAUAACACAAAUCAUUAGAUUCUCAAUGUAAAUCAAUGAUAGUGG